This 61777-nucleotide long non-coding RNA is filed under the name Gossypium barbadense (sea-island cotton). RNAcentral's name for it is "long non-coding RNA (GBAR_LNC015904)". The stretch from base 8233 to 8376 matches the Rfam family "MIR7502 microRNA precursor family". The record is from RNAcentral. Lineage: Eukaryota; Viridiplantae; Streptophyta; Magnoliopsida; Malvales; Malvaceae.
GCUCCUCCCAGUUUGUUAUGCGAUCCUCGACCCCAUCGAGUGCCUCCUUUACAUCUGCCAUGGAUCCCUCGAGUUUACCCACACGUUCCUCUACUGCCGAUAUUGUCUCCCUCAAAGACUUCCUCGCCCACCUUUGUUCAAACUCUUCUUUCGACAUCCCAACAGUGCCUUUGAACCAACAACUCGAAUAUUACUUGGUUCAAACCUUGGCUCGGAUACCACUUGUCACGGACUUGGAGUUUUCCCACACAUCCGUGCGGCCUUAGGCAGUUUCUUGGCUUAAAAACGCCUAAGUCAGCCUAACUUCCACCAAUAAUGGAUUCAACCAAUGUCACGGAUCGCAGUUCAAAGCCCGUGACAAGCACACCAAAUGCAUCCAAUGGAGGUCUGUUACUCAGAUGGGGAUCAUUUGGCCUACGAGAACUGGCCCGAUUCAAAGAGCUGUUGGACAGGCCUAUCACAUUGAAGCCUGAUGGGCCCGAUAAUGAAGAUAGGACUAAGUAGUCUUAGAAGUUCUAAUUGUACACAGCUUCUAAUUCUGUAAAGUUAGAGUCCUAAUUGAAUACAGCUUUUAAUUGUAGCCAUCGGUUUUGGGGGAGCUCAACUAUAAAUAGAGAGCCUCCCCCUCAUUUGUACUUACUCCUGAAUUGUUUCAUUAUUCUUUGUGAAUAAGAAUUGAGAGCAUUUACUCAAACUUUUCUCUCAAGCGUUCUUGCUUUUGUUCAUCUUUCAAAGAUCGUUCUUAAUUCGUUCUUCCGCUGUUCUUCGUGAAAACUUUAAGGGAAUUCUGUUGAAUCCUUUAUUGUUGCGAGUUGAGCUGACUUAGGCGUUUUUACGGUUGAAUCCAUUAUCGGUGGAAGUUAGGCUGACUUAGGCGUUUUUAAGCCAAGAAACUGCCUAAGGCCGCACGGAUGGGUGGGAAAACUCCAGGUCCGUGACAUAAGAGGAUGAUUAAAAAUUAAAAAAUAAAAAACAGAACAAACACGUAGAAUGACAAUACCUGAAUUACUUUUUCAUUACCGUGUUAAUCUCGUCGAUGAUAGACAAAGCAUCAAAUAUAGUAAAUCAUGAAUAAAUGGACCGAAAGCGAUAUUAGUUAGUAAAUCUAAUGGUAUUGAUUGAGACGCACAUAUAAUAUAUGGUCUUUUUUUUAUGUAUUAGAUAUUAAAUGUAUGUAAAAGCUUGGUUUGGAAUGUCUUUCACUAGUUUUGGUGGGACAUAAAGUGCUUCCUAGAAAGUUCGCUAGAAUCAAUGAAGGAUUUGAAACUUCACACGUUUAUGCGAUCGUUUCGGUCUAUCACACUGACACCAUGAUAUACAUUGGUCUCAUGUUUGUUUGCCCUACAUUAUCCAAUUCUUACGUCACUUGAAGAACAAAGGAUUAUUUGAUUUGAAAUGAUGAAAUUUUGCUACCAGUCCUAAUAAGAAUAAUGUUGCUUUAAUGAUGGAAUUUUGCUACUAGUCCUAAAUAAGAAUUUUGUUUGUUAGUUUACUGUUAGUUAGUCAGCUAUAAUAUAACUUAGUUUUAACUAACUCCAUGCAAGUUAAGCUAUCUUGAGUGUUUUUUUAUCCAUAAAAAAACUUUGAUAUAAGAAGAAGUUACAAAUAAAAGGAGUGUUUUUUUGUACAACUCUAAUACAAAUGGAAAAUUUUUCAUUUACGCCAUUUAAAAUUUUAAAUUAAUAAUGUUAAAAUUAUACUUUAAUUUUUUAAAAAUAAUAAAAAAUUAAUUUAAUUUUUUAAAAAUUAUAAAGAUAAGGAUUAUUAAAAUAAUAAAAUUAUAUUUUUACUAUCGUAAAAAUUACAAUUUAAUCUUAGCCUGCCCUAAAAAAAUUUUCUAGUUUUGUCCUUGAUAGAAAGUGAAUACAUUUAUCAACAAUUCAUAAUUUGGGUUUCAAAAUAAUCAAAGUUUGUUACCAUAAAAGUACAAACAUUAAAAUUAAUCAAAUUAGAAUAUAAUAACUAAAUAUGCAGCAAAUUUUGAAUAUGAAAUCUAUCCUCUACAACAUUUGCUACAAAAUUAUAUCUACGGUCUAUUUUUUAUUUUUACAAUAAAAGAAACAUACAUCUUGUUGGAUAGAAUGUUAAAAAAAUUUAAUCGAUUGAAUAUUAAUAUUUUUAACAACUUAAAUUUUUAAGCACAUUUGAUAAUCAAUCAUGAACUAUUAGAUAGAGUUUUUUUCUAGUAAGUGUAGAAAAUGAUAAGUAAGAUUAUUUUAUUUUAUUUACGAUUAUAUUAUCAUUUUAUCAAACAAUUUAAUUAUAUUUAAUUUUAAAUAAAAUAUUGAACAUAGUUUAUAAUUUAAAUUUAACACUUAAUUUUUCAAUAAUUCUUUUGUUUUAAUUUAUCACACAAAUUACAGAAAAAAAUAUCAGAUUGCAUUGGUGAAUGGAAACCAGAACCUAAAUUGAAUUAACAAAUAUAAUGAAAUUAUUAUAUACAAAUAAAUUUAACAAAAAUAAAACACAAUAAAUUCAACACAAGAAAACACAAUAACCCAUCAAAGGCCUAAGCACAUUGCUUUUUUCCUUUUUACGUGUAAGCCAUGAUUUCUCUUAAAGUAGCAGCCGAAGGAGAUCGUGGCAACCUAGAUGUAAAAUUUCUGUUAGGAAACUCAUUAAUUUGACUAUCUUCACCUCCAUUAUUGAAAUUCAACGCAUAACUCGACGGAUUGUAUUGAAAAUCUAUUGAGCGUCGUCUUCUGUGAAUAAAAUUAUAAUUAGGGUUAUGGUUACGACGAUAAUUAGGAAAAUCAUGUCCAAUACGAGUAAUCAAAUUACGACAUUUGUGUUUAAAAGUUUUAGGACUUGAAAUAGGAGUUGAGUGAGGAGUAAUUGGCACACUCGAGAUUUGUUGAUUGUGGUCAUGGUGGUUGUGGUGACGGAGCCAUUGAAGAGAAGAUUUUAACUUUUGCUUUAAAGAUGGAUAAAUUGAUUCGUUUUCAUUGCUCAUUAUUUUAUUUUAUAUUUUUUCACUUUUCUUAUAAAUAAAAGAAAGAAAAACUUUUAUUUAUAUAUUUUUCAAAAAUGGUGGAAAUUGAAAUAGUGUAGGGAUAAGAUAAAAUUACCAAAAAUUGUACGAAUCCUACGUAAAUAAAGGAACAAUUAAGAGGUUAUUAUUUGGAGAGUUAAAAACUAAUGUUUUCUGUAAUUUUAGGGGAAAAUUUCAGUGUAGAUUAAAGAUUUUACUGUUUUUGUGAUUUUGUAAUUUUAGGGGAAUAUUUCUUUAUUUAAAUAUAUUGUAUUUAGCUUGAAAUUCGAUUUCUAUAACUAAGAUGAUUUUUCAGUUAAAUAAUAAAUUUUUAUUUUUCCAUUUUAAGCACAAUCAUAAAAAUAAAAAAAUAUAAAGAAUAGUUUAUUAUUUAAAUUAAUAGUGAACUUUAAAAAAAAAGUAAUGAGAGAUUUAUUUAAAAAAUAGAGAUGCUUUUAAGAGUAAUAAAUUAUAUUAUUGAUAUUACAUAACAAUUCUAAGUCUUUUUAAAAUAUUGUUGAUUAAUAUAUAAAACUCGGAUAAAUAAAUGAUAAUAUAUAAUUAUCAUUAUUAUUAUUAUCACAAAUCUUCCGCUUUUUUUCUGUCAAGAAAAGCGAUUACGUCUACCGGCUGCUGAAAACAGGCUUAUCAAGCUGCAGUCUGACCAAUAAUUUAAAUAUAAAUAUCAUUAAUGAUCAUUUUUAAAGUCUAACGGAAUGGCUUUUCUGUUAUACAAAGAGAUUAUCGUAUUACUAAUCAUCUAAAUCAACCCAAAAUCUGUCGUGAUAAUAAAAUUGGUUAUUAUAGAAAAGGGAUUAAAUUCAAGGAUAAGAUAUGUAUUUAAAUUUAAAUACAAUAGUAACAAUGAAUUACGAAAUAAAAAAUAAUUAAAUGUAUAUCUAAUCAAUAAUUAAAAUCAAUUAAAAUUAUUUAUAUUAGAUUAUAAAAAUUAAAAAAUUAAAAAAAUUAUUUAUACUAAAAUAAUUAAUUAAAAAUAUAAAUACAUAUAAAAAAAGCUUUCGAUCGAGUUCGAGUGAAUUCGCUCGAUCUUUUGAUGGCAAAUGUAUCUUAUUUUAUUUAAAUGCAAUAAAAAUAUUUUUUUUAUUUUAAAUAGUAGAUGUGGACAAUCGGAAUCGCAUAUUAAUUUAUAUAAUUUUAUUUUAUGGUUUGACAUUAAAUAUAUGUUGCAUGUGGAUGGCCUUUACCCGGCUAGGAACCAUUUUAAAUAACUGGAAACCGACAAAAUAUAUGGAAUAAAAGCUUAUUAGUUCAAACUAGAAAGCCAAACUUGAAAAUAAAAUUUGUUCAAACUCAAUUUAUUUACGGCCAUAUUCGAAAACUUGAUUUACAGUCUCAGAUAAGGAGUUAUGGCUCUUAUUUAUUUGAAUACUGUUAAAGCAUUCAAGCAACUGCUUCAGCAGCAGUGGAGACCUUCUGGAGGACAAAUAUAGGAUCUCCCACUUUAACCAGCUUUGCCUUCCCUUCAGUCAAACUUUCCUUGCAAACCAUGUUCUGCCCGAAAUAGAUCUGCAAUAUCAUCAGAACGUACUCAAAACGGAUCGUUUGCGGGUGAGAGGGCAUUACAGCAAAAAAAUGUUCCGAAUUUUCGUCUUAGUGGUCUUACCUCUCCUUGUUGUUUCUUGUCCGGUCGCAAGACCUUACCCGAUCUGUAUUUCAUAAGAGUUUCAUUCGGCUCUGGACCAGCAAUUGCGGUGUCUUGAUUGAUUGUAGGCACCUGAAUAAUGCACCAUCAUCUUUUUAAACAUUAACAUGCUUAAGCAUAUGAUAUAAAGUUAUUAAUAUCGUAAGAUACUCUAUAUGUAUAGUUCAAUACGAUUCGAUUCACAAUCAAAAUCACUAGGUAUCUAUAUAGAGAACUGGUUUUUAGCAUUGAAUACCUUGAAAUCCAUUGCAAUUUACAAUAUUCUUAAGAUAACAGUACUUCUCGUAAUAUAAGCAUAAAAUGCAGAAAGGGUAGCUUUUAUACCUUACAGCGGGAGCAUAGUCUCACACCUUGAAAUGAAAAUUGGCUUAUUUUAAUCUCAGUCCAUAGGUCUUCGGAGAACGGUUCACAGCCGUCAACAAGGAUGCUAUAAUGAGCACAAAAAAUUAUGUAAUAAAGUUGUAAAUAAUACAGAAAAAGAGUAAAGCAGAGGUGAUUAAACUUAAACAAAUGUUUUCCAUUGGAAAUAACAUGAGAGAAUAUUGAAAUUUAGAGGAUGAACUGGAUCCUGAUGAAAGGACAUGCUAAAUAAAAACCAAGAGACAUGGUAUGAGCCUGAGAAAGGGGCGAAAAAAGUACUUGGGUCUGAAACGGUUCAUGGGUACAGGCUCCUUCAGAAGCUUGUUCAGUUCGUCCAAAGAUCCCUGCAAGCAUUUGUACUUAUAAUAUCAAGUUUAAGCUUUGUUAAUUUAUAUUGAUAUCAUCAUCAUCAUCAUCAUCAGUUAUGAAAAAAAAAAACCAUUGUUUCCAAAACUAACCUGAGAUACUAACAUGAAAGGGAACAUGUCAGAAAACAUUAUGGAAUACCCUUGAGCAUACACAGGAUUCACAGGCCUAGUUUCUGAUGCUGCAUUUAUUAAAUAAUGUUGUAACCAAAUUGUUAGCCAUAUAAAUUGGAGACUUCAAAACUAUCUUAAUAUGCAAAGCUAUCACAACAUGGCUGUAGCAUUUAUAUAGUUAAUUGAAAUCAAACCAACCUGCAUUAAAACGAACCAUCCUACUGGGUUUCCCGAGAUAAUUUGUAAACCAUUUUGAAGCCUCAUCACCCUCAUCUAAUGCAGAGCCGGACCACUCCCAAACUGAAACACCAUCAGACACUUUUGGUGGUUUGCAAAGAGAAAUCUUGAGUAAAUCCAUUCCGGGUGCUUUUAUUUCUGCGAAUGAAAGCAUAUAAUGGUCACGAUUCAUGAAAAAUAAAAGGAAAUCACAAUUUGAAUGCUUUAGACAAUUUGCCUGCAUAAAACAAAUAACUCAUACUAAGAUUUCUACUAUUAGAGAUUUGAUAGUUUGUCUCAUACAAAUAAUUUUGCCAUGUAAAAACACACUAUUCUGUUUAAUAUGAGCAUUAUAUAAUGCAAUAUCUGCAGUAACUAAGUUGUCUUAAAGAUUAAUGAGGUACAGAUAAUGAUGAGUUGGUUUACCCAAAUAGGAGGUCUUGGUAGGUUCCCAGCCCUCUGAAAAGGCCUCAGCUGGCAGGUUCACCUCAACUAGAGCAAGCUUUGGUUCAACCCUUUGAGUAUAUGCCCUGCCUCUCUGAUUCACAACAAGCCAUUGCCGAUCCCAUCGAAACCCUGUACAUGCAUCAACAGAGGAACAUAAGAAAUAAAUCAGCCAUGCUUGCAAGUUAGCCAUGGAGAAUAAAUUGAACAAACUGACAGAUGGUUGAGGCAACUGGAUACGCCAAAUCAAGCUAACUAAACUGUUUAAGAAAAUCAAGAAUAAUUCCCAAAAUUACAUAAAAAAAAGUGAUCCAAUAUAACAAGCACUGUAGCUAUCACUUAAUCAUAGUUAUUGUUUCUAAUGUUAUUUGGGUUAAGCUAAUGAACCAGUGAUAAGACAGAAAUCUAUGACUGGGAGUGAGGCUAAAAAUUUUGGGAAUAGCACCAAAAAAAAAAAGCAAUAAAAAAUAAAAAUGAAAACCAAAAUUUCCUUGUAAGUAUUAAAGCUGGAGUGGCAGAGAAAUACAUUAAGACAGUGUUAGCAAAUGAAGUGCAGGUGAAAACACCAUAAUAUAAGAACAACAAGGCUAAUAAUUGAUAAAUAUAAAGAGCAGAAAAAAACUCACAGCCGGGACCUUGAAGAGAUGGAAAAAAAAGGAGUACCAGUAGGAGUGAGGGGUGCAUGUGGAACAGAAAUUCCACGGCAUGAUUUUACGGGAUAGAUAAAGAUUGAUGAUAUCUUAGCAUCAGCAACAGCAGCAGCAGCAGCAGCAGCAGCAGAUGAUGCAUCAGUCUUCUCCAUGCCUCUUUCUUCUUUCGGACAAAGAGAUAAUCUUGAGUUUCCAAGCAAAAACAGGUAGUCUGUAUGUUUAAGAAGUCUUCUUAAAAACCGCUGACUUCGAACCACAUGAAUUCAUUUCUUCUACAUGGAAACUUCCAAACUGAAUUUGGAUUUUUGCACAAUGGGAUCAGAACGGUGGACCGCCCUCUAUACAAAGUGGCCCUGCCUCCAGGCCCACAUCCUUUUCUAACACACGUUACUAUUUUUUUUUCCUUUUUCGGUUACAAUUUCCAAGAGGGCAAUCCAAUUGUAAGUUUGUAACCUCCAUUUUAUUUUAAAAUAUGCUUUUACCUCUUUCAGAUUUAUUCAUUCUUUUUUAUUUUUAAAAUUUCAAUUUUAAUUUUAAAAUUUAUUUAUUAAAUUUAUUGAUGUGAUAUUUUAAAAUAAAACAAAUAAUUAGUGGUUAUAUAAUAAAAAAUACCGUUAUAAACUUGAAUUUAACCAAAGCAUUUUAAUUGUAUUCACAAUUGUAAUUAGGUUUUAAAUCUAAGAAAUAGAAAAUUUAAAUUCCAAAUGUAAAUAUUAUAAUCUCACUAAAAUUAAGGUUAAUUAAUACUUCAACACAAAUAAAAAAAGGUUAAUUUUGUCCUACCAAACAUUUUUUACUUUUCAAGAAAGCAACUUUUUCAGGAAAAAAAUCCCAUUACUUGUGGGAAAUAACUCAGUUACAUUCGAAAGAAAAUAAACUAAUUUUUGUUAAAUUUAUAUAAAAAUGAUAACAUCCCAUCGUAUCAAACAUCCUAUAAGAGUUCAAUAGUAAACUGUCUAAAAUCCUAUCGAGUUAAAAACUAAUCUUAAACAAUAUACGCUCUUGAUAGAUGUCCAAUGCCUCGAUAACCUUCUCGAUGAAUAGUUUCCGGUGCAAUCUGUACCUGAAUAUGUAAAAAGGUAAGAGAGGCUUCAACUCGGACUGUAAUUAAGAAUUAAAACCUCAAUGCAUGAGAGGAAAAGGUAUGUUAUGUCAGAAUCACAUACUUGAUUGCUGUUUCAAGUGUCCUCCUUGCUUCUGGCAUAGAUUCUGUAGUUGUAAAAUGAAUCAAAAAUCAAAUAUAUCAGACCAUGGCUCAUGUUCUAGUUGAUAAGUAGCAGAUUUUUGAAAAUUUACAGUAAUAAACAAUAGAAGUUGUUCAUAGUGCCUGUUUAAAUGGUAAAAGUACUAUGAACAGUAUUAGGGGUCAGAUUGCAUUUUGUCCCCUCUACUCAAAAAAUGGGCAAAAUAGUCCCUGUAUAUUAGAUCAAAGAGUGAAUUGGACAAUUCUGUUAAAAUUUUUAUCCAUUUAUACUGUUAAAAACUGACGUGACUGACAAAAUAACCGGACAGUGACACAUGACGUGCCAUAUGUACCUCAUGCUAAUGUACAAGACUAGUUUUUAACCGUAAGAAUGAACAGAAUUUUUAAUAGAAGUAUCAAUUUGCUUUUUAAUUUAACCGACAAGGAUUAAUUUGUUUAUUUUUUAGUACAGAGGGCAAAAUGUAAUCCAACUCCUAAUACUAGGGCCUCCAUUAUACUUUUACCUAGUUUAAACUGUACUUCAACCAUGAAAUUAUCUUAGCACUUUAUGUUUGAAGGAAUUAGGACUCUGCAAGCUUUAAGACUACCGACCAACCAGUUCAAUUCUGUUGGUAACCUGAGCAUUCUAAUCUAAUUUUAGAUCGUGUAGGAAAGAAUGUUAAUUCUAUCCACUAAGAUAGAUAAAAUGUUCACCUAGUAAUUUUUGGUCUUGCGCGGAAGUUGUAGGAAACUGUGCAAGCAUCUGCUGACAUUCUUCUUGUAACUCCUUCACAGCUUUCCUUUCCAUGCUAGGGAUCAGCGGAACAUCGCCAUCUGACCAUGUGGGCAAUGUUCUUGCAGCAGUUAUGACUGCCCCGUCAACAAAAUUAUCUCCUUUAUCUGCUAACUGACCUGAAUGUUUUGUGAAUAUAAGGUGCUGAAUUUUGUAGAAAAUAUUAACAUUAUCAUUUGAGAAGUUCUGAAAAGUUAAAACUACUCAUACUGUUAUGAUAAUAAUCUCCAGGGAGACCAGAUAUAUUGAAGACCGACAAGAAAGAGUCCAAGUGAACAUGUGCGUUGCCCGAGAAUGGUAUAGAAUCCCAAGGAUUCUGCAAUGUUCAGGCCUUGACUAAGUCAGGUUAAAAAAGAAGAAGAAGAAGAUUUAAAUAUUUAUAUUGAGGAUUAAGGCUUUGCUUGGUAGGAUGGAAAGAAAAUUGGAAAGAUGGAAAACUGAAGGAGUAGAAAACUAGAAGGAUAGAAAAUAUAAUUUUUCUUUCAUAAUCUCUUCAUUUUCUCUCCUCUUAUUUUUCCAAUUUGGAAGGAUUGGUUUUUAUGCGAUAGAAAAUGGUCAUCCCUCCCAUUUUCUUUCCUCUCACUUUUCUUUCUAACCAAGCACACUCAAAAUUUAUUUUCCUUCCACUUUUCCACUCCAUCCUCCAUCCCUCCACUUUUGCACCUAACCAAGCACACCCUAAAAGUAGAAGCUAAUUACCACAGAUGAUGAGAAUCCAUAUCGUUGCAUGAGCAUCUGAUUUUGCUGUCCAUUCAUGUAAUUGAUGGUCAUCUGUUAACAUUAUGGAAUUGUAGAUACAUAACCCAUAAUGAAAUAAAAAACACUUAGGAUCUAACAUGGUUGAUGGCUUUAAAAGGCAAACAGCAAAGACAACACAAAGCAGGCUAAACUUUAUCACAAACUAAAUGCUCCAAUAGCUACAAAGAGACCAAAAAGACUACAAAUAAACGAUGGUUGGACUGCCCCUUGAUGUUGAAAAUUCACUUGAACAACAUUAGAAUUUAAAGAGAAUAUGGAAUAACAAUACCUCCUCUCCUUUUCUAAUCCUCUGACCAGCAUUUAUCAUCACCUCAACCAUGCGAUCCUUAAAACGCCAAUGGAGAAAACAGUUUGGCUGAAAUGAAUGAUUUAGCAUGUCUGCGCUGACAAAUGGAUACACAUCAAAAAGCAUAUUAAAAUAUUAGAUAAGUAAGAGAAAUAAUAACUUAAAGGAAAUAUGAUGGCAGUCAAUUUGUAGAUAAGGCAGGGAGGUAUUAGUGAUGCCAAAACAGGCCAAAGAUUUGGUCGAAAAAGACAAUAAAUGAAGAGAAACAGUUGAAAGGAAUGGUCUAUAAGAAAAACAAAAAAUCUUAUCAGGGCCUGCAUUUCUUUUAACUUUUUGACCAGCCAUCAUAGACAAGAAGGCAUAGAAAUGAAAAAUAGAGGAGUCCCGUGCAGCAAGAUCACCAGACCAGCAUAGGGAAUUAGCAUAUUUGCAUCUUGAACUAGUGCACCGAUCCUAACUUGCAUGUUAAUGCAUCGUGACUGUGCAAUGCUAACAGCCCAAAUGAAUCUCUCAGGAUCACGAGCAAGGCGCUUUAUUUUCAGAGGGACACCGGAAUGCUGAGUGAGGUUAAGCACACAAACAAGUUAUAUUACAGUGAGCAGGAACUUCUUUGAAGAAAUGAGAGGUAAAAUGUUUAGUGUCAUAAUGAUAGACGGGUUGCUUAUACCCAGUUCUUUUCCCAAAAUUCUAAGGCUCUUAAUUGUUGAUUUUUCAUAGUUGAAACAAGAUCAGGAUCCUGCAGCUGUGAGAGGUCGUCCUGCAAGGAUUGAGCAAGCUGUGAGUACAAGAAGUUGCUUCCCACAUAGUUACUCUUAGAAUUAUGCUAAAAUCCCAAUCCUUUGCCAUUUAACAACCAUAACCAAUGCUUUAAUGCAAUCAUUAAGAUAUGUCACUCCCACCAUUAAUUCAUCAAAGACAAAAACUGUAAUUUAGCAAAACAUAGAAGGGAAUUUGAAAUAAAGUAAAAAGCAAGAAAAUACACACACCUCAGCAGCAAGAAGCAAGCUAGUGCACUCAUCAGCACUAGGUAAGAAGUCUCCAUAUAGUUGCCAAAAGUUAUCCUCCUUAUCAAAUGCAUACAAGAAGGCAUGCCAAUCUCAGAUCCCAAUCUGUCUGCCAAGAAAGACGCCAUGAAUUACAUUGAAGAACAGCGCAAUUAGUGUUAUAGUACAAACCAAAUAGUGUGCUAGUGAAUUCACCAAAUUUGAACAAUAAAUGCAGAAAACUUGAAAUGAUAAUUUAAGUCUUUCAUAUAAAGGAAAAUUCGAAUUACCUCAGGAUUGGUUGAGUUUAUGAUAUCAAAUAUGGGAUGACCUAGUGGCACUAUAUCCGGGAAGAACAUCCAUGGCAACUUCUGCCUUAUUGUCAACAUCAAUUCCAAAGGUAUUUCCAUAAUUACCUGUUCAGUCAAGUAUUGAAAGCAUAGUUACCAACACAUACACACAGAUAUCAUAGGAAGAGAAUAUAUGGUAGAAAAGGGUUACAGUGAGAAUUUAGAAGCAAAUGACAAAAGUGAAACAGACUCUAGCACAACGAAGAGGUUCAACAUCUUUGGAGGCAUAGACUCCAAAACCAUCAGGACCUUCCUUAAACUCAAUUCCAUAAGCUCUCAUACUUCGAACAUAACCUAUCUUGUAGAAAUCAGGGUCCGCAGGCUCCAACUAUAAAGGAAAACAAAAGCAACUGAAUGAUUUUAAAAACCCAAAAUGGAAAAAAAAAGUAAUAGGAAGAGUGAAUUGAUAAGCCAUGAGCAUAUACCUGAGAAGGAGAUUCUUGAACUGGGGUAGGCUGAAAGAGUGGAAACGAAGGAGUUUCAAUCUCAAACAAUACUUGGUCGCUGGUGCUGGUGACCACCCAUGACUAUGAAAAUGAGUACGACGAGAUUCUCUUUCUGGACAAGCAUAGGUGAAGCACCCACUGACAUGUAUCUUAUUUUAUUUAAAUGUAAUAAAAAUAUUUUUUUUUAAUUUUAAAUAGUAGAUGUGGACAAUCGGAAUCGCAUAUUAAUUUAUAUAAUUUUAUUUUAUGGUUUGACAUUAAAUAUAUGUUGCAUGUGGAUGGCCUUUACCCGGCUAGGAACCAUUUUAAAUAACUGGAAACCGACAAAAUAUAUGGAAUAAAAGCUUAUUAGUUCAAACUAGAAAGCCAAACUUGAAAAUAAAAUUUGUUCAAACUCAAUUUAUUUACGGCCAUAUUCAAAAACUUGAUUUAAAGUCUCAGAUAAGGAGUUAUGGCUCUUAUUUAUUUGAAUACUGUUAAAAGCAUUCAAGCAACUGCUUCAGCAGCAGUGGAGACUUUCUGGAGGACAAAUAUAGGAUCUCCCACUUUAACCAGCUUUGCCUUCCCUUCAGUCAAACUUUCCUUGCAAACCAUGUUCUGCCCAAAAUAGAUCUGCAAUAUCAUCAGAACGUAUUCAAAACGGAUCGUUUGCGGGUGAGAGGGCAUUACAGCAAAAAAAUGUUCCGAAUUUUCAUCUUAGUGGUCUUACCUUUCCUUGUUGUUUCUUGUCCGGUCGCAAGACCUUAUCAGACCUGUAUUUCAUAAGAGUUUCAUUCGGCUCUGGACCAGCAAUUGCGGUUUCUUGAUUGAUUGUAGGCACCUGAAUAAUGCACCAUCAUCUUUUUAAACAUUAACAUGCUUAGGCAUAUGAUAUAUAGCUAUUAAUAUCGUAAGAUACUCUAUAUGUAUAGUUUCAAUACGAUUCGAUUCACAAUCAAAAUCACUAGGUAUCUAUAUAGAGAACUGGUUUUUAGCAUUGAAUACCUUGAAAUCCAUUGCAAUUUACAAUAUUCUUAAGAUAACAGUACUUCUCGUAAUAUAAGCAGAAAAUGCAGAAAGGGUAGCUUUUACACCUUACAGCGGGAGCAUAGUCUCACACCUUGAAAUGAAAAUUGGCUUAUUUUAAUCUCAGUCCAUAGGUCUUCAGAGAACGGUUCACAGCCGACAACAAGGAUGCUAUAAUGAGAACGAAAAAUUAUGUAAUAAAGUUGUAAAUAAUACAGAAAAAGAGUAAAGCAGAGGUGAUUAAACUUGAACAAAUGUUUUCCAUUGGAAAUAACAUGAGAGAAUAUUGAAAUUUAGAGGAUUAACUGGAUCCUGAUGAAAGGACAUGCUAAAUAAAAACCAAGAGACAUGGUAUGAGCCUGAGAAAGGGGCGAAAAAAGUACUUGGGUCUGAAACGGUUCAUGGGUACAGGCUCCUUCAGAAGCUUGUUCAGUUCGUCCAAAGAUCCCUGCAAGCAUUUGUACUUAUAACAUCAAGUUUGAGCUUUGUUAAUUUAUAUUGAUAUCAUCAUCAUCACCAUCAUCAUCAUCAGUUAUGAAAAUAAAAAACAUUGUUUCCAAAACUAACCUGAGAUGCUAACAUGAAAGGGAACAUGUCAGAAAACAUUAUGGAAUACCCUUGAGCAUACACAGGAUCCACAGGCCUAGUUUCUGAUGCUGCAUUUAUUAAAUAAUGUUGUAACCAAAUUGUUAGCCAUAUAAAUUUGAGACUUAAAAACUAUCUUAAUAUGCAAAGCUAUCACAACAUGGCUGUAGCAUUUAUAUAGUUAAUUGAAAUCAAACCAACCUGCAUUAAAACGAACCAUCCUACUGGGUUUCCCGAGAUAAUUUGUAAACCAUUUUGAAGCCUCAUCACCCUCAUCUAAUGCAGAGCCGGACCACUCCCAAACUGAAACACCAUCAGACACUUUUGGUGGUUUGCAAAGAGAAAUCUUGAGUAAAUCCAUUCCGGGUGCUUUUAUUUCUGCGAAUGAAAGCAUAUAAUGGUCACGACUCAUGAAAAAUAAAAGGAAAUCACAAUUUGAAUGCUUUAGACAAUUUGCCUGCAUAAAACAAAUAACUCAUACUAAGAUUUCUACUAUUAGAGAUUUGAUAGUUUGUCUCAUACAAAUAAUUUUGCCAUGUAAAAACACACUAUUCUGUUUAAUAUGAGCAUUAUAUAAUGCAAUAUCUGCAGUAACUAAGUUGUCUUAAAGAUUAAUGAGGUACAGAUAAUGAUGAGUUGGUUUACCCAAAUAGGAGGUCUUGGUAGGUUCCCAGCCCUCUGAAAAGGCCUCAGCUGGCAGGUUCACCUCAACUAGAGCAAGCUUUGGUUCAACCCUUUGAGUAUAUGCCCUGCCUCUCUGAUUCACAACAAGCCAUUGCCGAUCCCAUCGAAACCCUGUACAUGCAUCAACAGAGGAACAUAAGAAAUAAAUCAGCCAUGCUUGCAUGUUAGCCAUGGAGAAUAAAUUGAACAAAUUGAUAGAUGGUUGAGGCAACUGGAUACGCCAAAUCAAGCUAACUAAACUGUUUAAGAAAAUCAAGAAUAAUUCCCAAAAUUACAUAAAAAAAAGUGAUCCAAUAUAACAAGCACUGUAGCUAUCACUUAAUCAUAGUUAUUGUUUCUAAUGUUAUUUGGGUUAAGCUAAUGAACCAGUGACAAGACAGAAAACUAUGACUGGGAGUGAGGUUAAAAAUUUUGGGAAUAGCACCAAAAAAAAAAAGCAAUAAAAAAUAAAAAUGAAAACCAAAAUUUCCUUGUAAGUAUUAAAGCUGGAGUUGCAGAGAAAUACAUUAAGACAGUGUUAGCAAAUGAAGUGCAGGUGAAAACACCAUAAUAUAAGAACAACAAGGCUAAUAAUUGAUAAAUAUAAAGAGCAGAAAUAAAUCCACAGCCGGGACCUUGAAGAGAUGGAAAAAAAAGGAGUACCAGUAGGAGUGAGGGGUGCAUGUGGAACAGAAAUUCCACGGCAUGAUUUUACGGGAUAGAUAAAGAUUGAUGAUAUCUUAGCAUCAGCAACAGCAGCAGCAGCAGAUGAUGCAUCAGUCUUCUCCAUGCCUCUUUCUUCUUUCGGACAAAGAGAUAAUCUUGAGUUUCCAAGCAAAGACAGGUAGUCUGUAUGUUUAAGAAUUCUUCUUCUUAAAAACCGCUGUCUUUGAACUCGAUUCCCUAUCAAACCACAUGAAAUUCAUUUCUUUUACAUGGAAACUUCCAAACUGAAUUUGGAUUUUUGCACAAUGGGAUCAGAACGGUGGACCGCCCUCUAUACAAAGUGGCCCUGCCUCCUGGCCCACACCCUUUUCUAACAUACGUUACUAUUUCCUUUUUCCUUUUUCGGUUACAAUUUCCAAGAGGGCAAUCCAAUUGUAACCCCAUUUUAUUUUAAAAUAUGCUUUUACCUCUUUCAGAUUUAUUCAUUCUUUUUUAUUUUUAAAAUUUUAAUUUUAUUUUAAAAUUUAUUUAUUAAAUUUAUUGAUGUGAUAUUUUAAAAUAAAAUAAAUAUUUAGUGGUUAUAUAAUAAAAAAUAUGUUACGGGAUAGAAUAAUAGCAGGAAAAAGAAUUAGUUAAAAUUAAUUUAGUUACUGAAAACGGGGAGUUUUGAAUAUUAGUUAAACGGUGAGUUUUAGUUGUUAAUUGGACGGUGCGUUUUGGUGAGUAUUAGUUACUGUUUGUUAUGUUUUCUUUUGCUUGAAAUAUGCAAGUGCUGCAUGGGAAGGAAGUUAUCGAAUUACAGAAGAAAUUUGUUAUCUGUUUUCUCCUCUCUUUCUUCCUUUUCUCCCUUUUCUUUCCUCUAAAUUCUCUGCUCGAUUUCAGUUUUUGUCAAAGGUAUCAGAGCUUUCACGAUCCUUUUUGAUGGCGGCGGUGGUGUUUCGACAAGGUUGCAAAAAGAGGUGAGCACGAUGCAGCAGGAAAUCUCCAAAAUCCAAGAGGAAUUCGCGCAUCUGGAGGCCAAGCUGGACUCCCAAUUACAGGAGUUCAAAACGGCGGUUCGAGGUGAUUUACAGUCGCUGUUGGUUCAGUAUUUCGGGCCACCACCAACUGGUUCAUCGGUAACUGCUGCAGCUGAUAAGGGUAAGGGGGUUUUGGGAGCUCCUCCUGGGUUUUUACCUAAAACCACCGAUUUACUGCCAGGACAGACGGAACCCUUUGUUCCGGAUGGAGGUAGUGUCCAUGUGCGAGAUCCUUCCUAUGUGGCGGGAGUUUUUACUAGAACCAGUCGAUUAGAGUGUCCUAAGUUCGAUGGUAAUGAUUUCCGGGGAUGGUGGACCAAAUUGGAACAGUAUUUUGAAGCGGAAGGCAUACCUGAAGUGAGUAAGGUUCGCAUGGUGAUGUUGAACUUAGAAGGCAGAGCAUUGGAAUGGCGUCAUUUCUAUUCACAGAGGCAGGGUGGUUUGCAAAUGUUGUUAUGGCCGGCGUACAUUAAGAGCCUCCAAGAUCGUUUUGGAUGUGGGCCAUUUAGGGAUCCGAUGAGGGAGCUGGUCAACUUGAAACAGCAAUGCUCCAUUUCUAGUUUAAAAUCCAACAAUGUUGGUGUUGUUGCUAAUACCUUGCACUAUGGCGCCUUGAACACGAGCAUUGGUGCAACAGCGACAGUUUCAAGUGGAAUUGGGUGUUUGGAUACAGGGCGAUUCAUGUACCAGAAGGGCGCAACAUUGGGUGCCUUGUUGGAAAAUGGCCAAAUUGAGAACUGGGCUGACUCUGGCCUUGCCGAUAAUAGCCAAUAGACUGACACUUCGACUGAUGUUGACACUGACCAUAAAAACCAGCUUCAUGGAGUUCGACAUGGAGCUGUAAUGGUGAAUAUGGUCCAAGUCAAAAAGUAGUGAUCAAAAGACUCUUCGCAGGCUUGCUCAGAAUCGAGAAGCUGCAAGGAAGAGUAGAUUGAGGACAAAAGCCUAUGUCCAGCAGCUUGAGAGUAGUCGACUCAGGCUUACAGAACUAGAGCAAGAGCUUCAAAGGGCACGGCAGCAGGGUAUUUUUAUAGCAUCUGGACUUUCUGGGGACCAUGGCCAUACAGUUGCGGGAAAUGCUGCUUUGGCAUUUGACAUGGAAUAUGAAGACAUACAUGCAGUCAAUAUGAGGGAAAUGAUAUUCAUAAUGAUAUAUGUCUCCUUUGACAUGAUUCUUGGUGCCUAUCUCAUUAGUAACAUGACAGCAUUAAUCGUAAAAGGAUCCAAGACAGAGAAGUUCAGAGAUAAAAUGGCAGAAGUUAUUAAGUAUAUGAACAGAAAUAAACUUGAAAGGGAUCUCCGUAAUCAGAUCAAAGGCCACUUGCGUUUACAGUACGAAAGCACAUACACUGAGGCUGCCGUUCUUCAGGAUAUUCCCAUCUCUAUUAGAGCUAAGAUUUCCCAAUCUUUAUAUUUGCCAUACAUUGAAAAUGCAUCUCUUUUCAAGGAAUGCUCUUCAGAGUUUAUUAAUCAGAUUAUUAUUAGACUCCAUGAAGAAUUUUUUCUCCCAGGAGAAGCAAUAAUGGAACAGGGAAAUGUUGUGGAUCAACUCUAUUUUGUUUGUCAUGGUGUGUUGGAGGGAAAAGAAUCCAAUCUCCGAGUUAGGCAACUGGAAUUGGACAUCUCAUUUCACAUCAGAAGACAAGAAGCUGAGCUAGCUUUGAGGAUGAAUGGUGCUGCAUAUAAUGGAGAUUUUUAUCAGCUCAAAAGUUUGAUACGAGCGGGAGCUGAUCCUAACAAAACCGAUUGUGAUGGAAGAUCUCCCUUGCAUCUUGCUGCAUCGAAAGGAUAUGAAGAUAUUACAAGUUUCCUUAUUCGACACCCGGUAGAUAUCAAUCUUAAAGAUAAGUUCGGAAAUACACCCUUGCUAGAAUCAAUAAAAAAUGGACACGACUAAUUAAAGAAGGAGCUUCCUUAAACAUAGAUGAUGCUGGUAGUUAUCUGUGUACGGCAGUUGCAAAGGGGGACUCAAACUUUUUGAGAAGGCUUUUGUCUAAUGGAGUUGAUCCUAACUCUAGAGGUUACGACCAUCGAACCCCCCUUCUUGUAGCUGCCUCUGAGGGCUUAUAUAUCAUGGUAAAGCUUUGGUAGAGGCUGGGGCUAGUGUUUUUUUUUUCCAAAGACAGAUGGGGAAACACUCCACUUGAUGAAGCCUGAAUGUGUGGCAACAAGAAUUUGAUCAAGUUACUGGAAGAUGCAACAUGGGAGCCUUUAUCUGCUAUUCAGUCCAAAUUUCCUCAUCUUCAUCCUUGAGGUCAAGGAUGUGUUUGUGGGAGGGAGUAUUGUUACGGGAUAGAAUAAUAGCAGGAAAAAGAAUUAGCUAAAAUUGAUUUAGUUACUGAAAACGGGGAGGAGUUUUGGGUAUUAGUUAAACGGUGAGUUUUAGUUGUUAAUUGGACGGUGCAUUUUGGUGAGUAUUAGUUACUGUUUUUUAUGUUUUCUUUUGCUUGAAAUAUGCAAGUGCUGCAUGGAAAGGAAGUUAUCGAAUUACAGAAGAAAUUUGUUAUCUGUUUUCUCCUCUCUUUCUUCCUUUUCUCCCUUUUCUUUCCUCCAAAUUCUCUGCUCGAUUUCAAUUCUUAUCAAAAUACUGAUAUAAACUUAAAUUUAACUAAAGUAUUUUAAUUGUAUUCACAAUUGUAAUUAGGUUUUAAAUCUAAGAAAUAGAAAAUUUAAAUUCCAAAUGUAAAUAUUUUAAUCUCACUAAAAUUAAGGUUAAUUAAUACUUCAAUACAAAUAAAAAAAAAGGUUAAUUUUGUCCUACCAAACUUUUUUUACUUUUCAAGAAAGCAACUUUUUCAGGAAAAAAAUCCCAUUACUUAUGGGAAAUAACUCAGUUACAUUCGAAAGAAAAUAAACUAAUUUUUGUUAAAUUUAUUGAAAAAUGAUAACAUUCCAUCGUAUCAAACAUCCUAUAAGAGUUCAAUAGUAAACUGUCUAAAAUCCUAUCGAGUUAAAAACUAAUCUAAAACAAUAUACGCUCUUGAUAGAUGUCCAAUGCCUCGAUAACCUUCUCGAUGAAUAGUUUCCGGUGCAAUCUGUACCUGAAUAUGUAAAAAGGUAAGAGAGACUUCAACUCGGACUGUAAUUAAGAAUUAAAACCUUAAUGCAUGAGAGGAAAAGGUAUGUUAUGUCAGAAUCACAUACUUGAUUGCUGUUUCAAGUGUCCUCCUUGCUUCUGGCAUAGAUUCUGUAGUUGUAAAAUGAAUCAAAAAUCAAAUAUAUCAGACCAUGGCUCAUGUUCUAGUUGAUAAGUAGCAGAUUUUUGAAUUUACAGUAAUAAACAAUAGAAGUUGUUCAUAGUGCCAGUUUAAAUGGUAAAAGUACUAUGGACGGUACUAGGAGUCAGAUUGCAUUUUGCCUCUACUCAAAAAAUAGGCAAAAUAGUCCCUGUAUAUUAGAUCAAAGAGUGAAUUGGUCAUUUCUGUUAAAAUUUUUAUUCAUUUAUACUGUUAAAAACUGACGUGACUGACAAAAUAACCGGACAGUGACACAUGAUGUGCCAUAUGUACCUCAUGCUAAUGUAUAAGACUAGUUUAUAACCGUAAGAAUGAACAGAAUUUUUAAUAGAAGUAUCAAUUUGCUUUUUGAUUUAACCGACAAGGAUUAAUUUGUUUAUUUUUUAGUAGAGAGGGCAAAAUGUAAUCCAACUCCUAAUACUAGGGCCUCCAUUAUACUUUUACCUAGUUUAAACUGUACUUCAACCAUGAAAUUAUCUUAGCACUUUAUGUUUGAAGGAAUUAGGACUCUGCAAGCUUUAAGACUACCGACCAACCAGUUCAAUUCUGUUGGUAACCUGAGCAUUCUAAUAUAAUUUUAGAUCGUGUAGGAAAGAAUGUUAAUUCUAUCCACUAAGAUAGAUAAAAUGUUCACCUAGUAAUUUUUGGUCUUGCGCGGAAGUUGUAGGAAACUGUGCAAGCAACUGCUGACAUUCUUCUUGUAACUCCUUCACAGCUUUCCUUUCCAUGCUAGGGAUCAGCGGAACAUCGCCAUCUGACCAUGUGGGCAAUGUUCUUGCAGCAGCUAUGACUGCCCCGUCAACAAAAUUAUCUCCUUUAUCUGCUAACUGACCUGAAUGUUUUGUGAAUAUAAGGUGCUGAAUUUUGUAGAAAAUAUUAACAUUAUCAUUUGAGAAGUUCUGAAAAGUUAAAACUACUCAUACUGUUAUGAUAAUACUCUCCAGGGAGACCAGAUAUAUUGAAGACCGACAAGAAAGAGUCCAAGUGAACAUGUGCGUUGCCGGAGAAUGGUAUUGAAUCCCAAGGAUUCUGCAAUGUUCAGGCCUUGACUAAGUCAGGUUAAAAAAAAAGAAGAAGAAGAUUUAAAUAUUUAUAUUGAGGAUUAAGGCUUUGCUUGGUAGGAUGGAAAGAAAAUUGGAAAGAUGGAAAACUGAAGGGGUAGAAAACUAGAAGGAUAGAAAAUAUAAUUUUUCUUUCAUAAUCUCUUCAUUUUCUCUCCUCUUAUUUUUCCAAUUUGGAAGGAUUGGUUUUUAUGCGAUAGAAAAUGGGAAAAUGGUCAUCCCUCCCAUUUUCUUUUCUCUCACUUUUCUUUCAAACCAAGCACACUCAAAAUUUAUUUUCCUUCCACUUUUCCACUCCAUCCUCCAUCCCUCCACUUUUGCACCUAACCAAGCACACCCUAAAAGUUGAAGCUAAUUACCACAGAUGAUGAGAAUCCAUAUCGUUGCAUGAGCAUCUGAUUUUGCUGUCCAUUCAUGUAAUUGAUGGUCAUCUGUUAACAUUAUGGAAUUGUAGAUACAUAUCCCAUAAUGUUAAUAAAAAACACUUAGGAUCUAACAUGGUUGAUGGCUUUAAAAGGCAAACAGCAAAGACAACACAAAGCAGGCUAAACUUUAUCACAAACUAAAUGCUCCAAUAGCUACAAAGAGACCAAAAAGACUACAAAUAAACGAUGGUUGGACCGCCCCUUGAUGUUGAAAAUUCACUUGAACAACAUUAGAAUUUAAAGAGAAUAUGGAAUAACAAUACCUCCUCUCCUUUUCUAAUCCUCUGUCCAGCGUUUAUCAUCACCUCAACCAUGCGAUCCUUAAAACGCCAAUGGAGAAAACAGUUUGGCUGAAAUGAAUGAUUUAGCAUGUCUGCGCUGACAAAUGGAUACACAUCAAAAAGCAUAUUAAAAUAUUAGAUAAGUAAGAGAAAUAAUAACUUAAAGGAAAUAUGAUGGCAGUCAAUUUGUAGAUAAGGCAGGGAGGUAUUAGUGAUGCCAAAACAGGCCAAAGCUUUGGUCGAAAAAGACAAUAAAUGAAGGAGAAACAGUUGAAAGGAAUGGUCUAUAAGAAAAACAAAAAAUCUUGUCAAGCCCUGCAUUACUUUUAACUUUUUGACCAGCCAUCAUAGACAAGAAGGCAUAGAAAUGAAAAAUAGAGGAGCCCCGUGCAGCAAGAUCACCAGACCAGCAUAGGGAAUUAGCAUAUUUGCAUCUUGAACUAGUGCACCGAUCCUAACUUGCAUGUUAAUGCAUCGUGACUGUGCAAUGCUAACAGCCCAAAUGAAUCUCUCAGGAUCACGAGCAAGGCGCUUUAUUUUCAGAGGAACACCGGAAUGCUGAGCGAGGUUAAGCACACAAACAAGUCAUAUUAGAGUGAGCAAGAACUUCUUUGAAGAAACGAGAGGUAAAAUGUUUAUUGUCAUAAUGAUAGAUGGGUUGCUUAUACCCAGUUCUUUUCCCAAAAUUCUAAGGCUCUUAAUUGUUGAUUUUUCAUAGUUGAAACAAGAUCAGGAUCCUGCAGCUGUGAGAGGUCGUCCUGCAAGGAUUGAGCAAGCUGUGAGUACAACAAGUUGCUUCCCACAUAGUUACUCUUAGAAUUAUGCUAAAAUCCCAAUCCUUUGCCAUUUAACAACCAUAACCAAUGCUUUAAUGAUAUCAUUAAGAUAUAUCACUCCCACCAUUAAUUCAUCAAAGAAAAAAACUGUAAUUUAGCAAAACAUAAAAGGGAACUCGAAAUAAAGUAAAAAGCAAGAAAAUACACACACCUCAGUAGCAAGAAGCAAGCUAGUGCACUCAUCAGCACUAGGUAAGAAGUCUCCAUAUAGUUGCCAAAAGUUAUCCUCCUUAUCAAAUGCAUACAAGAGAAGGCAUGCCAAUCUCAGAUCCCAAUCUGUCUGCCAAGAAAGACGCCAUGAAUUACAUUGAAGAACAGCGCAAUUAGUGUUAUAGUACAAAUCAAAUAGUGUGCUAGUGAAUUCACCAAAUUUGAACAAUAAAUGCAGAAAACUUGAAAUGAUAAUUUAAGUCUUUCAUAUAAAGGAAAAUUCGAAUUACCUCAGGAUUGGUUGAGUUUUUGAUAUCAAAUAUGGGAUGACCUAGUGGCACUAUAUCCGGGAAGAACAUCCAUGGCAACUUCUGCCUUAUUGUCAACAUCAAUUCCAAAGGUAUUUCCAUAAUUACCUGUUCAGUCAAGUAUUGAAAGCAUAGUUACCAACACAUACACACAGAUAUCAUAGCAAGAGAAUAUAUGGUAGAAAAGGGUUACAGUGAGAAUUUAGAAGCAAAUGACAAAAGUGAAACAGACUCUAGCACGACGAAGAGGUUCAACAUCUUUGGAGGCAUAGACUCCAAAACCAUCAGGACCUUCCUUAAACUCAAUUCCAUAAGCUCUCAUACUUCGAGCAUAACCUAUCUUGUAGAAAUCAGGGUCCGCAGGCUCCAACUAUAAAGGAAAACAAAAGCAACUGAAUGGUUUUAAAAACCCAAAACGGAAAAAAAAAAGUAAUAGGAAGAGUGAAUUGAUAAGCCAUGAGCAUAUACCUGAGAAGGAGAUUCUUGAACUGGGGUAGGCUGAAAGAGUGGAAACGAAGGAGUUCCAACCGAAGCAUUAAUGGGUCUCAAACGAUACUUGGUCGCUGGUGCUGGUGACCACCCAUGACUAUGAAAAUGAGUACGACGAUAUUCUCUUUCUGGACAAGCAUAGGUGAAGCACCCACUGACAUGAUGAAGGGGAACAAAUGAGGCCGCCAUUGGACUUUGGAGACUACAGGAAAGUGAGUCUAUUGGAGUUCAAAAUGGAACCAUGAUUGCAUCACUGGCACUGUACUACUCCGGUACUGAUAAUUUCCUUUCGUUCUUAGGACAAGAAGAUCAAUUCUAACUCUUAAAAACUCGAAAAGAAGAAGCCAUUACAAAACGUUAUCCGCUCGCAACCAGAGACCAGGCUAGAGCAUAGUGCGAAGGGGUGGCACAAAUGGUAGCCCAGCCCAUCAUAACCAGCCUUAGUCACGCAUGGCCCAUCCUAUCUGUUAACUUGCAUCUUCAAAAGGCCUGAUUUUCGUUUCUUACAAGCUUUGAUCCAUUUUUCUUUUAAACAGAAAAAAUGGGAUAUUUUCUAUCGAUUUUUAGAAAUCCAGAUAUUCAAGCUCAAUUUUAAUUUUUUUAACAAUAAUUUUGAUUAUAUCUAUUCUUUUUGACAUAAUGUCUAGAAUUGUACAUAGUCUCUCCCCAAUCCAUAAAUAAGAGAAUAAUACGCUUUAGCGCAUCCAAACCAAUAUCCUCUUACAUUAAUAACAAUGCACAUAUCAAUUGAAUUAAGACUCAAUCGGCUCGAAUAUUUAAUUUGACAUUGUUAGUAAUAGUUUUGGGAUAAAAUUGAAUAUUUUAAAGUUGAAUUAAUUUUAACAAAACAAGAAGAGGUUGAUAUAAUACUACUAGGCCACCAUUCAUUUGAAACUUUUUUUUGUUUUUUUUUGCUUACCAAAUUUGAUGCUUCACCAACAGACCACAUGCUUGUCAGCCAUUUGAAACUUAUUAUCAUAUAGUGUGAAAAUCAGGAAAAGGAGAAAUUAUUUAUAGGAUCUGAGUUGCUAUUAAUAUGGUAAUGGACCAUGAAUGGGUAGCAGUUAUGGUCCAAAAGAAUUUCUGUUGUAUUGAAUUGUUUUUGGGAUAAUUAAUUAAUCUUCUUAUUUUAUUUGAGUUACCUCUUUUCUAUUAUGUUUAUCUAUCCAUAUUAUUGCUAGAAUCUGUUCAUUAUGCUGGUGUCGUCAUGACCUAGUUGAAAAACAACCAAAAAUAUUCAAUUUUAACAUUCAAAUAAAAUAAAGGGUAUAACUGUUGUCUAAAAUAAAGUAUUAAAGUAUUUUUUUAUUAAUUAUCUUCAAAAUUGACAGACAGUUCAUUUAUAAAAACUAACCGUAUUAUAUUUCUCAAUUUUUUAUUUCCAUUGUUAAUUGAGGGUGUAUGGGAAUUUAGGGGGUAUAAUGUGAUUGUGUUCUGUCUGAUCAUAUAAUGUUAUAAAAUUAUAAGAUUUUAAUUUAUUUCUGUCACUCGUUACCUAGAACAGCACUUGAUGAAGAUAAUUAAUCAUCAAAGCAUUAUGUCGUGCAUAUAAUUGAUAAACAAUUGCCUUACGCUUAAGAGCCUUCUGCAGUUCAUCGAGAAAACUCCAUGGAUUUCAUUUUAGGUGAAAACCUAGCAGUAAGUCAAACGCGGCUCAGACUUGUAGUUGAGGAAAAUUUUCCUUCAUGGUUAAGAUUAAGUGAUCUAUAUACUUGGCGCACUUACAUGUAUAAAUUCACAAGUUCAUUAGUAAGGAGUUACUAGCUAUAAGGUGAAAAUUGAAAAGAAGAAAAAUGCAUCAUCCUCCACCACCUGCAGACGCCCAUCAUCCUCACCAAUCCCACCACCCGCAAUCGCCACCCCAUGCUUCGGCUCCAGGUCCACCACAUACUAAUCACCCUCAUUUAGAUCAUGCUCCUCCUCCAAGGCCAGGUCUUCAUGCGCCACCACUAGGACCAAGUCAUCCUCUGGGUUCAAUACAUGAGCAUCCUCAUCCAGGCUAUGCUCCUCCUCCAAGGCCAAGUCCUCAAGCGCCACCACCAGGACCUGGUCAUCCUCCAAGUCCACCACAUGCCGAGCAUCCUCCUCCAAGGCCAAGUCUCUAUGCGCCACCACCAAGACCAGGUCAUCCUCCAGGUCCACUACAUGAGCAUCCUCCAAGUCCACCACAUGUUGAGCAUCCUCCUCCAAGGCUAGAUCCCCAUGCGCCACCGUUAGGACCAGGUCAUCCUCCAAGCCCACCACAUAAUGAUCAUCUUCAUCCAGACCAUGCUCCCCCUCCAGGGCCAGGUCCCCAUGUGCCACCACCAAGACCUGGACAUCCUCCAGGUGCAUCACAUGCUGAGCAUUCUCAUCCAGGCCAUGCUCCUCCUCCAGGACCAAGUCCCCAUACGCCACCACCAGAACCAGGUCAUCUUCCAAGUCAACCACAUAUUGGUCAUCCUCAUCCAGGCCACGCUCCUCCUCCAAGGCCAGGUCCCCAUGCACCACUACCAGGUCUAGGUCAUCCUCCUGAGCCACACAAGCCUCGUCCAUGACACCACACUGCAUAUCCAAUACAAUGUGAACCUUAGCUUGGUACUUGAGCGACUCUUUCACCAGUUUCGUGUUAUUUAUGUAAUAAAUUGAUAAAAACUAUUUCUACUAAAAUAAUUUAAUAAAAUAAAGUAGCAUGUUUGAUAUAUUUUCUAGGUUAUGGAGGAUAAGACUUAUAUAUAUUAAAGAGACACUACCUUUCGUUGUAGGCAUAUAAUGAACAUUUGAAGAAUAUAAUGAAAUCAAUUGAAAGAUAAAUGAUAAUAUAAUGCAUUAACAUUAAGAGAAUUAUCUAAAAAUAAAAAGUGAACAUUAACAUAAUAAAAUGAAAUAAAUUAAAAUAAGAAAACAUGAAUGUAGAUGAGACUUGUGUAUGGAAGGAAAUAAGAUAAAUUGCCAAAAUUAACUUAAGUGUAGUGAAAAAGAAAAUGUCAACAUAUUGUCACUGUUAGAAUCAAAACCACUAGUUUCAAUCUGAAGUUAGCAAUGGAUAGAUAUAAAUAAAAUCAACUUUUAUAUUAAUACUAUUUGUCGAAAUCAUUUUUUUACAAGGGGUCAAUUUUAAUUUUGAAAACAAAAACAAACAUGAGAGUCGCUACCAAUCCUUUUUGAUGAGGUGGGAUCGAGUCACCUCGAAAAAUGGUUGUUUUUUAAUAAAUGGUUUGAUUUAUUAAAACAACGAUUUCGGUUUACAGAAUUCAGAAUAAACAGGUUCGUGAGUCGGUUACGUACGAGGAAGGAUUAGCACCCUCGAAAUGCCCAAAAUUGAUACAUAAUUGAUUAAUUAGUGUCUUAAUGUCGAAAAUUAAAAACUUUGAAGAGAAUUAAAAUAUGAUCCUUUGUUAAAUUUGCUUAAUUGAAUUUUUUUUUAGAAAAUGGCAUAUUUCACGUUAAUUGAAAAAAAGAAUUAUGUCCCGUAAGUUAGGACACAAUAUCUUAAAUCACCAAAAUGAGAAUAAACACCGAAAGUUUUAUUAUUUUAGUUUUAUUAUUUUAAAGGAUAUGCGAUAUCUUAAUUAAAAAAAAGAAUCAUAUUUCGUAAGUUAGAACACGAUUUUUUAUUAAUUCCCGAGAUGAUUAAAAAAUUUAUGUUAAAAAAGGAUUCGUGUAUUCGGAUUUAUCGAGAAAAUCGAAACCCCGUAAGUUAGGAAAAAACUUUUUGAAUUCAGAAAUACGAAAUAUUGCUUAUUUAGAACAACAUUUUUAAUAUAUCAAGUAAAAUGUAACACAAUUUUGUAGUAAAAUGUGAAAUAAAUUACGGUGCUAAUAUGCAUAGCAGAAUAACAAAAAAUACAUUAAUGUGAACAAAAAUAUAAAGAACGAAAAUAAAAUAAAAUAAAAUAAACAAACCAAAAAUAAAAAGACAAAUAAUAAGGAUAACGAACUAAAAUUUAAAACUAAAGACUUAAUAUUAUAUAAAUAAAUAUUGUAUAAAGCAAUUUAAGAAUAAUAAUAUUAAUAAUAAUGACGAUGAUAUUAAUAAAAAUAAUAAAAAUAAUCUAAAACUUUAAAAUUAUAUAAGAGGAUAUAAAUAAAUAGAUGAUAAAUAUAAGAGAAAUAUAAUAAUAAUAGUAAUAAUAAUGCAAAAUUAAUUAAUUUAAUAAUAUAAUAAUAACAAGUAAAUAAAUAAAAAAAAAUAUAAAAUAAUAAUAGUAAUAAUAAUAUUAAAUUAAUUGAUUUAAUAAUAAAAUAGCAAAAAUAACAAAAACAAAUGGGCCAAAUUGAACUUUAAAACAGAAGUUUGGGGCAAAUCAGAAAUAAAUAAGACGGAAAAGGACCAAUUUGAACGCGCGAAUAACAAGAAGGGACCGAAAAAGAAAUAAUCCCCACCCUCCAAAACGCACAGCUUCGAGGUGGACCAAAUUGAAAGCAGAAACAAAUUAUAGGGCAAAAUUAAAAAAUAGAAGAAACUUGAUUGCAAACAAUUAAAAAUCGGAAGGGUUAAAAGCGCAGUUAGCCCUUCCAUUCAAAAAAGCGGAUCCUAGUAGCGGGUCGGGUUGGCGCGCGGGUUAGACACAAAACGAUGACGUUUUGGUGCCUGAGAGGCCUGCCCAAAACGGCGCCGUUUUAGAAACCUAUUUAAGUCAGUUGACAAAAAUCAUUUCGCCCUUUGUUCAGAAAAAAAAAAAAACCUUAAAACUCUAUCCCCCUCUCUGGUUUUCUCUGGGCACUGCCCAGUAUCCGGCGAAUGGAGCCGCCGUGGCGCCAUCAUGUAAGGUGGUCGGAGGCCCCCAGGUUAGUUUCCGUCCUUUUUUUCUCUCUUUUUUUUAUAUUAUAUAUGUAUAGUUUUUUAAAUAAAAGGAAAAUAAAAUUUUUUGAAUAGGAGCAGUUUCGAAACUGGAAAAAUAAAGAAAAAAAUGACCUUCUCACGUUUCCCUUUGGUUUUUUUUUCUUCGAUCUGCUUUGCUGCUUGUUGUUCUUAUGCUUGAAUCUGUUUUUGUAUUUUACAAAAAAAAAAAAACCCCCCCGAAGAAAAAGAUUACAAUCGGUUCAAAAUGGCUUUAUAGCCAAUUUUUACACAUUUUUUAGUCUAUUUUGCAUGCUGUCACUUCUUGCUUUUAAUCUUUGUAGGUGCAAAUGGGCGGUGCAAGUGGAGGGCGGUGCUGCAGUGGCGGUGGCAGGGCUGUCAGGGGCUAGGUGCGGCGGCAGCAGGCUUGGGUUUCAGUUUUUUGCUGACACUGAGUUUAGUUUUGGGCCAAUCGGGCCGCCUAUGGUUUUAGAGUUUUGGUUUGGGCCAUUUGGGCAUGUUGUAAAUGGACUGGACUUUACUAAUUGUUUUGUUUUAUUUUAUUUUUGGGUUGUUUGUUUAGGGCCCGGGCAAUUUGGGCUGAUUACACGAUUUUUCUAUCAAUUCAUUAAAAUUUUAAAUUUUGCACUAUCAUCAUUAAUUUAUUAUUUUGAAAUUUCAAAAAUAGUUUGUAAUCGUUGUAAAGAGGAUCAAACAACAAAAGAAACCUUAAAUUCCAAGAAACACUAUAACAGUUGAGGAGAACAGAAGUUCAAAGCGAAAGGAAAAAGCAUCAUACCUCUGAAUUAAUUUAUGAAGUCAACAUAUUAGCUUAGAAUAAUGAACAAUUAAACACAUUACAAACGAAAACCAUAAAAAUACAAAAAUAAUUAGCAACCGGCAGCCCAGCCCACUAUAGCCAGCCUCUGUCACACUUAGCCCAUCCUAUCUGUUAACUUUUACAUCGAAAUGGCCCGACUUGUGUUUCAUCCAAACUUCUAUCAAUUGAGAAAAUUUUGGGAUAAUUUCUAUAGAAAUUCUUACAAAAUUUCAGCCAAUGUUUGUUAGUAUUAGUAAAAAUAAUAAACUCUUCUAAACUCUUAGAUGUUGAUGGCCUAAUUCGAGUAAAUUUUAACUUGUACGGUUAUAGCUGUCCAAAAAAAUUAUUUUAAAGUUUAAUUAAUUGAAAUGAAAAUAAAAACAAGAUUCACAGGAUGCUACUAGGCAACUAUUUAAAUUAGUAAAAUUCAUUUGAAGUCGAUUGAGUCUUAACUUGAUUGGUAUUGGUGUCAGUGCAGGAAAAUGUAGGUUUAAGUGCGCUAAAACUCAUUAUCCUUCUAUUUAAAGGUUAAAGAUGGACUAUAAAUAAUUUUAGACAUGGUAUAAAAAAAGUAAAUAUAUUAAAAACUUAUAAUAAAUCUAAUAUUAAAAAAAAACCUCAUUUGAAACAGUUUAGUCGCUAAUGUUAUUCUACUGGGCUAAGAAUAUGAAUGAGUUAUAUAAUUAGUAAACUUACUAUACUUUUUUAAAUUUUAAAAAUUCACUCUUAAUUACAAUAAUUAUUGUUAAAUUCAUUAAUUACAAUGUCGUAUAUUUCUUUAACUAUUAUAUUUUAAUGACUAUUGUUCGUCAAGAUUGAAAUUUCAAAUAUUAAAAAAAAUAUAAGAGCUAAAAAUAAUUAAAUUAGAGUCGAUUGAGUCUUAAUUUGUUGGCAUUGACCUUGUUACCAAUAUAUAAAUUUGAGUUUGAGCGCGUUGAAUAGUAUUUAUUCCCUUAUUUAAAGGUUGAGAAAAUGGUUAGGUAUACUUAUAAACAUCUUAUAAAAAAUAAUUUAGAUUUUUUUUUACAAUGACACAUAUGAACAAAUAAAACUAAAAUUAAUAAUUAAAUUAUAAGGAAUUAAAUAAACAAUUUACGGAUAGUAGAGGGAGAUUAAAACAUUUUCCUGUCACCCAUUUUUUUUUAUAGCAGCAGUUGAUGAAGAUAAUGUUAUACAGAAAGGUGUCAUCAAAGCACUGCAUCGUACAUACAACCAAAAAAACAAAUGACUUUCUGCUGUUUACUUUUUUGACCAUCCAGGGAACUCCAUGAAUGUUUUUUUGGUGAAAACCUACCACCACCGGCAAAUCAAACUUGGCUUUGACUUGUAGUUAAAAAGCAAAGUCCUUCAUGGUUAAGGGGGGGGGGGCACUUACAAGUAUAAAUUCACAACUUCCCUUGUAACACAAUCUAGCUAGCUACAAGGUGAAAUUUGAAAAGAAGAGAAAAAAUGCAUAAUCCACCACCACCAGACCCCCACCACCCACAUCCGCAACCCCAUGCUCCGCCUCCAGGUCCGCCACAUGCUGAUCAUCCUCCUCCAGGCCAUGCUCCUCCUCCUGGGCCAGGCCCCCAUGCGCCACCGCCAGGACCAGGUGGUCCAGGUCAUCAUCCCGAGCCACACAAGCCUCGUCCAUGAUCCUUAUACCGUGAAUACAAUAUUAUGUAAGCUUAGGCUGGGUACCGUACUUAUGUAAUAAAUUAAGAAAACCUAUUUCUACUAUAAUAAUAAUAAAGAUGUAAUUUCUACGUUAUGGAGGCCAUGGCUUAUAUGGGCACUUUUAUUUUUGCUUAAUUUGUCAUGAGCAUGAGGAUUAAUUUGUCUUAAAUUGCUCUUUUUCUUUUACUGGUAUGGCUGAUUAUCAAUUUUAUUUAUUUUGUGUUUAAACAAAAUACCACCUGGACAUCAAAUAAUAAUGUUAAAUUAAUAAUUGUGAUUAAAGGUGAGGAUAUGACCAAGUAGCCCAUUUGGGUUUAAGCUCGUAAUUGGGCUUGGCUUAUUUAUUACUAAUAGAUCGGCUCUUGUAUCCACUAAUACAAGUUGGGAUUCGGCUUAAUCUUUUAAGUAAUUAAAAAAAUUUCCUUCUUUUUCUAACAUAUAUACAUAUAAAUAUUUUUAAAAAUCGUAUGAAUUUUUUAGAAUUUACAUGCUAAUAGUAAAAAAAUAAUUUAAAAAUAGAUCACUAUACUUAUAAAAUAAGAAAAUGUUGAAAACUGUGCAUCAAACAAUUAAACAAAUAUUGUAAGAAGAUAAUAGUUAAUGUGCAUCUCAAUUUUAUAUAUUUAUUUAACGCAUCAAAAGAAUAUUAAAAUAUAAAGGUAUGGAACAACAAAUGCUGUCUAUGAAAGUGCAAGUUUUUUUGGUUCUUUUUCCUUCUAUCUUUUUUCUGUAUGUUCGGUUUUGUUUUUAGGCCAAGUGCCAAAUAAGUGAAUGUUAAACUUACAAAGAAACACGGUGCGCCUAAUUGUAUUCUAUUUUUGAAUGUUCAUAUUGCCGUCUAAUAAUACGGGUUUUUUUUUAUUCUUGAAAACAAAUAAAAUGUAUAUUUUCUAUGAAUCAAUGGAAUUGGACCGUCAUCACUCUGAUAACAAAACACACCAUACACAAUUUUAUUUAAAAAAUUCACCAAUUAAAAUGUUUUAUUAUUUUAAGAUUCUUUUGUAAUUUUAAAAAUACAACUUUAAAUAAAAAUUAUUUUUAAUUAUUUACUAACAUUGUCUCGUGUAUAAAAAUUACUAACUCAUUAUUAAGAAAACACUUUUUUUGACCAUUAAAGUUGUACUAAUUCAUGCUUAAUUAUCCAUCAGUAAAAUAGGGCAGUUGGUAUUUUUUUUUUAUUGACACAGAAUUCGACUUUAAAUAUAACAAUUAUUCUUAAUUAAAAUUUUAAAAAAAUGUUAUAAUAAAAAUCAAUAUUACUAACACGCAAGAAAUGCCUUAUGGACAACUUGCCACAAGUACAGGCCAACAAAACAGAUUCCUUGUCAUUUUCAACCUUACGUAAUUUAUUUAUGGUCAAUAUUUUUAACUAAUUAAUUUGGAAAUAACUUUUACUUUCUUUCUUUUUCUUUUAUUCUUUUUAACUUUUUCCUUCAGAUUGCUUCAAAUAAAAGGAAGAGAAAAGCAUAUUAAAUCUUGCAAAAGAAAGAAAGAGGUUUCAUAGAAUUAAGCUACUCUUUAGAGUCACAUAUGUUUUGAGGCUCAAAUUGUUGCACCCAAUCAAAUUAAACAUAGUAUUAGUAUCUGAUUUUAUGCAAUCAUAGCUAAAGAUUGUUGAAAAAUAUAAAUAUCAUAGCUUAAGAUUAGAGGUGUACAUGGGUUGGGCCGGGUUCAACUAAAAAUUUAGGCCCGUUUGUUAGGUUCGGGCCUGACCCAGUCCGCCUAUAUUAAUUUUUAUAUAAUUUUAAAAUAUAUAUAAUACAUCAAAAAUACUAAAAACAUCAAAAUAAAUAUUUCCUAACAAAUUUAAAAAUAUGUAUACUGAUAGAUGCAACUUAACAAGCAAAUGCCUCUAAAAUAAUAACAAAAUUAACAAAAGUCUUUAAAAUAAUAACAAAAUUAACAAUAAAAUAAGUUUUAUACAAUAUCCAAAUAAUAAUAACAAAAUAGCAGCAAUAUAAUAGAAAAAUGGUCGCAAAAUAGGGAGAAAACAACAAGAAAUUAAUAUUAAAAAAAUUGUCCUUUAGUGAAUUCGGGCCGGGCCUGGCCGUAGCCAAAAAUGCCUUACCUAAGGCCCGACCAAUUUUUUAAACGGGUGUUAUUUUUUUGUCCAAGCCCAUUUUUCGAGCCUAUAUUUUAACCCAAACCCUCUCACUUUUUGAGUGGGCCUUCGUGCAGGGCCGGGUGGCCCAACCCAUGAGCAGGCCUACUUAAGAUUAAUGCAUGUUAUUAAUUCACUUAAUUAAUACAUUAUUUUUCAAUAAUUGUUUUAAAUACAUUUGAAUUAUGGGAAGAGGCUUUAAAGAUAUUGUAUCAUAUAAUUUAAUUAAAUAAAAUAAUAAUAAGAGUCAAAUUGAUAAAAAAAUAUAAAUGUUGAGUGAUAAAUAUAAUACUAUAUUAUAUGCGUUAGUAACAUUUAAAAGUCUAAUGAACAUUAAUUUAAUUGACAUAAUUACAAUUGCAACAAUUAAGUAAUGUGUAAUUGACAAAAAUAUUAUUAUUAAGAAAAACUUAAAAAUUAAGUGAACCUUAAUUUAGUUGUAAGUAAAAUUUAUUUUUUAAGUCAAACCUGACGCGGAUAAAUGAGAAAAGAGAUGGACCCUAACACAUAAUUUUGUCAUGAGCUCCUACUAAAAUAUUGUCAUUCAAAAUCUCCAAUCGAAGAUCCGAACGGUGAUCAAAUUACCGAUACAGUUGAAGGCGAUGCGGGUGAUGAACGGCAGCAUAGAAAGAAGAUGAAAGGCGGUGGAUAAGAUUGAUACUGUAGCGAGAAAGAAAAGUGGAGGAAGCAAUAUUGUGGGGUCAGCUUUUGGUUAAUUUAAUUUCCAUUGUUGGUAAUAAGAUUCUUGAGAUUUAAGAAUACAGAAAAGCCAAGUAUGAUGGGCUAAGAAAAGAACCUACCUUAGUGACCAUUCCUACAAAGACAACUAUCUCCAUAGUCCAUACCAAACAUUGAACCUUUUAACAUAAAAUAUAUUCAAACCAGAUUUGUUUCUUUUAAUCUCUCUAGAUAUUCUCUUUUUCUUUAUUUAGUUUUUGUAUCACUCCCUUUAUGGGAAAAAAAAGCCAAUUAAAGAGAAAAUCCAACGUCAUUUUCUUUGCAUCAUCGUCAUCUUUUCCCUAUCUUAUUCCCUGUCUUGUAAUUAAACACUUGGGAUCAUCGUUGCCUAAAAAAACUUCAUUUUCAAUUUUAUUUUUGUCACAAUUCUACCACCACUAAAAUUAAACAAAUCCCUUGAUUUAACAUUUUCACUUUGUUUAUGAUCAUCAUUAAUUUUGCAUUAAAAAACAAUCUCACGUUUAUAUCUUUUUCCUGGAACUUCUUCUUCUUCCACUUUCCUAGCAAACACGCAUGAAUUUCAUAGUAAGAAAAGAAAAGAAAUUAACAUUUAACAUCAUAUUAUAUUUAAGUUCAAGAUGGACUUGCAGAAUAUAUAUUAUAUUUAAGUGGAGAAAAUAGGGUGAGACAGGUCAAUAUUAGAGGGAGGACAUUUCCUGUGCCGUUGAUGGUGAUGGCAACAUUUGAAAAGGAGAAAAGGGUUUAUGGGAAAACGAAAGCGUUAAGAAAAAACACAACCAUUUGCAACGGAACUGAUUUUCAGCCACGCUUUCAUAAGAAAAAUCUGGAAUUCUUAUUUCAGUCACAUUAUAAUUAUUAUAUUAUAAUAAUAAUUACGAAGAAGGUGUUUUUUUUUUAUUUUUUAAAAGAAAGAAAGUGGCAACCAAUCCAAUUAUAUACUCUCAACGAAUCUUCUCAGUUCUCCCCACUCCAUAAUUUUCUUUUGAUUCUCACUUUCUUUUCUCUAUUUGUGUCUAGUUUUCCUCCUGUUACUUUGGAUACGCUUACCAUUUCUUUUCCUUUCCUUUAUUAUCAUCAAUAGUACCAUGUGUGUUGAAGAUAUAGAACAGGUCAGCCAAGAAAUGGAGGACCUUGGUGAUGGCAGUACCAACAAAAAGCCUUGGCCUUUACUUUCUAGGGGUGAUUUCUUGAGUACCCAGAUGGAGAAUUGGGUUCACAAAGACUCUCCCUUUCCCCUGGCCGUGGUAGCUGGCAGCAAUAGAGUAAGUACCCAAACUUCAUUUCCUGCAUCAUUUUUGCUUUUGAUAACACAGUUUCUUAUGAUUAUGUUUUGGGUAUUUCUUGUUUUUGUUAAUCCUUUGCUUCAAGUUGAGAAAUUUGUCCCAGUAAAUGUGCUUUUGGCAGCAUUAAGCUUUAUGGAAAAUAGCCAAUUUUUUGUACCUUCUUCCCUGUAUAUGUGCACUUUUCAUGUUUUGAUGGAUUACAAAAGUUGCAUCAGCUACUUAUAUUCAGUUUGGUCAGGUUGAUGAUCAAUCAUGUUUGUAUAUUUUCACUUACAUUCAGCUUCUGACUGUGUUGGAAGUGGAUUCUGAUUAUAUUAGGAGAGACAGGAACUGACAUCGUUCUAAACAUUGAAUAUAACACAAUAGUGGGGUUGUGAUCAAUAGUAUAUAAACUUUGAUAUUCAGGGUCUAACUGUCAAUAUAGUUGAAGAAUUUUCACAAGUUAGCUUUAUAUUUUGUAGGGUUUUGCUAUUAGCACUCAGAUAGUGUUGUCUUUUUUCUAUAGAUUGGUAUUCAUGAUAUUACAUUGCUAUUCUUUGUUUAAGGCUAUAUUCUUCUUUUAUUCAGUUGUAUCUGGAUAGGAGUAGGUUCGGUUAUUACCAUUGACAACGCUUCUGCUGUUUCUUUUAUGGUAUUUCACUAAUUGUCUUGUUUCUCAUUUGUGUUUCAUUCAGCUGGAAAGUAUUUCUGAGGAAACAGUUGCCACAGACAAAAAACAUGACCUGUUGACAAAUUUUAUUCCCACUCUUCGGUCGGGAGAGUGGUCUGACAUUGGUGGUCGUCCUUAUAUGGAGGAUACUCAUGUAUGCAUUGCAGACUUGGCUAAGGAUUUUGGUCGAAAUUUAAUGAGUGAAGAUACUGUUUCCUUCUAUGGUGUAAGUUUGCAAACAAUCCUUUUUCUCUCUAAGAUGCUGUCCUGUUAAACUUUCAAAUAUCUCUACCUGUAAUCUGUUCUCGAGUAUUUGCAAUUUAUUUUAGAAUAUGGAGCUAGAACCUUUGUGCUGUCCAUCAACUAACCGAAUUCGAAAAACAAAUAAACUGUCAUCUCUGAAGUCAUAUUUUCUUCCCUAAUUUUAAACUAUGUUUUCCAGAUGUUCAUAAAAUGUUUGAACCUGUUGCUUCCAACAAAAGGAUUGAAAGUUACUGCUAUGAACUUAGUUUCCAAUGAAGCCUUGGCAUCAUUGGCAAAGGCUGAGGCCCUGGGACCUGUAGUGCCUAUGCCCGAGUCCCACCAUGUGAAAUUUAUGAUUCAGUUCUUGUAAUGAUUGAUUGAUUCUGAUUGGAACUGUUGACAUAGUUAGUUGUAGCUCUACUGUAAGCAAGGACGAUAAAUUUGAUGCAGAGUUGUUUAUUUUCUGUUUAAUUGCAAAAACCUGUUCAUUUAGAAGCUCGUAAGCAUUCUCUUUUUUGACAUAAAAAAGAACAGGUUUUUGAUGGGCACGGGGGCAAGGAUGCAUCUCAAUUUGUCCGUGAUCAUUUGCCUAGAGUUAUUGUUGAGGAUGCUGAUUUUCCCUUAGAUAUAGAGAAAGCAGUCACCAGGUCAUUCAUGGAGACGGACGCUGCAUUUGCAAAGUCAUGCUCUCUCGAGUCUGCUCUGGCUUCUGGCACUACUGCUCUCACUGCUAUGAUAUUUGGGAGGUAAGCACUCCUAAAGCUUUUCUUGUUGGCCUUAUCGUGCUUUUAUCUUCCUUCGAAAGAGAUCAAACCAAGAUAGACGUUGAGGGAGGUGAGAUUACACAAUUCAACGCAUGCGAGUUUGGAAAAGUGAAUCGAUAGUCUGGACAUUUUUGUAAUUUGUUUUCUCUAUAUGUUUAAAUCAGCAUGUAAGGUUUUUGCUUUGUCUGAAAGGGAUGAUCUUAAUCUUUUACAGGUCAUUACUUGUUGCAAAUGCUGGGGAUUCUAGGGCUGUACUAUCACGGUGCGGAACAGCCAUAGAGAUGUCAAAGGAUCAUAGGCCCUGUUGCAUGAAAGAAAGGAGACGAAUUGAGUCUCUGGGUGGAUUCAUUGAUGAUGGUUAUCUUAACGGUCAACUAGGUGUCACUCGGGCAUUAGGCAAUUGGCACCUCGAAGGCAUGAAAGAAAUGGGCGAGAGAAUUGGACCCCUAAGUGCUGAACCAGAACUCAAAAUGAUAACAUUGACCAAGGAAGAUGAGUUUUUGAUCAUCGGGAGUGAUGGAAUAUGGGACGUUUUUACCAACCAAAAUGCCGUAGAUUUCACAAGGAGGCGACUCCAAGAGCACAAUGAUGUCAAGUUAUGCUGCAAAGAAAUGGUUGGUGAAGCAAUAAAACGAGGAGCAACAGACAAUUUAACAGUUGUUUUAGUGAGUUUCCACUUGGAGCCACCUCUCCCUUCUAUCAUACAACGGGCAAGAUUCAGGCGAAGCAUUUCUGCCGAAGGGCUUCAAAGUCUCAAAUGCCUCUUAGAAGGAUAAGUUCUAUAUGUCCGUUCAUCGUUCAAUACGCAGUUUACAAAAGAGAAAACUAGGUAUGAAUUAUGAUCUUCUUGUGCAUAUGCAUUCAUCAAGCAACCGAAACCCAAAAGAAUCGAAUUAUCGUUCGUAAUUUGAUACAUUUUAGAUUCUAUUUCCCAGCUUCCUACUGAAGCUGUAGGAUAAUUCGAGGAACAGAAUUGAUUUGUAUAUCUGUGCACUGUUCGUUGUAAACAGAAACAAUUGUGUUAAAUAUAGACAUUUUGUAAGCUGGUUUGCCUUUUUGCUUUGGGACCAAUAACUACUGUGCAAAUUAUAUGGGAAACAACUCAAUAUGUACAGCCAUCAAUGGUCGCAGCAGUGAACCGAAAAACAGUGUCCCGAUAGACCACCACCUAGCGAGAAAGCAUUUACUCAUCUGCAUGGUCCACUCAAAUCUUAGUUCUCGAGGCCACAACAUGUGAGCCCACAUGUAAGAGUGACCACUGACCAUUCGAACACUAUAAUCAAUAAGUGAAACAUGGUGGGUCUAGCCCAAAAUCCAUGGGGUGGGUCAUUAACUGAGUAAAGAAAAGAAAAAAACACACAAAGGGUCUAUUUUACAGAUAAGGCUCGACGUCCAUACCUACUUUCAUUUAAAGACUUUGGCCUUCUUUAAAUUUUCGUUCUUAGGUCCCCCAUUUCUGCACUUUUAUUAAAUUCUGUCGACAUCCCAUUUUUUUUUAUAUCUCUUGUUAAGAUCUAAGACCAAUAUCAUACUAAUGCAUGUCUGCCAAAAUUUAAAUCCAUAGGUUUUCCUUUGUUACUUGUUAAGUUUCUGUGCAUCAUUACUCAAUAACCAAAAGCGAUGGUUUAACAAAUAAGUAUGAUAAUUAGUUAUAGAAUAUUUAUAUAUACAAAAAAAGCUCAUUCUCUCUAACCCUAAAAAAACUGCAGCAUUCCUGGAAAGCUGUCAAAUUUCCCAUUCCUUUAAAUUAUUUUUUCCUGGAAAACUUUUGCUUCUUUUUUUAAUAUUGUCUUUGAUUUUUUUUCCCACCUAUACAUUCUUAGUUGUGUAUUGGAGGUUUUCUCUUGGCUGGUGAAUAGUCCAUUUCAGCUAUCUCCAUAAUGUCCGCGUAUUGGUCCUGUUGUUCGGAACUUGUCGGCGAACUAACAGAAACUUUCUCUUGCUUUUCACCAUUUUCUUGGUUUCCUGAUUUGACUCUUGUAGUAGGGUUAGCUUUCUUAUAAUCUCCACCAUCUUCGCUCUGUAAAAGCACAUAAUGUCAACAUAAUAUAUAUCUAAACUCAAAACCCUAUAUAUAUAUAUGAAGUUAUACCUUUGAACUGGUGGAAGAUGCAGUGGUAGUUGCAGUAGUAGUUGCUGUAAGAAGUUUCCUACUGUUUCCUGCAAAAAAAAAAAAAAACUGAAGGUGAAAAGGAAAAUUCUGGUGUAGUGCAUGUCAGUUGGAUCUUUCACAAUAUGCCCCCAUAAAUAAAAAUUCAACUCAAAGGGUACAAAGCUUUUUUUGUCAGAAUGUAGCGAGAGACUUGGUUCUUAUGAGAUUCUUUUAAGGAAUAAUGAUACUAUCUAACCCUAGUAAUUAAAAGAUAUUGAAGAAAACUGAUCCUAAGGGAGGGUAAUGCUUCCUAGGUCCACAGUAAUCUUAUUGAAUGCAUGGUAACCAGUGCCACAGUCAUCUUCUUUGUACCUCUACAUUGCCCUUGUUUGCAGAAAAUGACAUCUCCCAUAACUCCAUUACUUAUUUUCAUCAAAGCUUCUUCCUGCAUUACAAAAAACCCACAACAGUAGGCUUAAGACUUUAAUAUUGUGGAAAGGAAAUUAUCUUGAACUGAUGCAUGGAAAAAAGAAAAUGGAUACUAACAUGCAAUUUAACAUCAUGUCCUGAUGAUUUAAAACUUCCCUCCAAUCGAAUCCCUUCAAGAGAAAAAAGAAACAUGUCAGAAAUUUAAUGGUAUGUAAUAGCAACACAGAAACAGGAGACUCUGUUGUGUAAUUACUGAGAAAAACACUGUUGGAAAUUUACCUUCAACACUAUAAAGGAAAAUGAACAACACCAGAAAACAGACUGCUUCUAAACAGGAAGGCCUCAUUUGCAGGGAGCUUUUUUUUUGUAGAAUUGCAGAGAAAUUGUUAACAAAUAUGAAAGAAAGAAAAUUAUGAUUCAGUUUAUGGGUUUUCCCCCCCUUUGUAUUAAGAACAAGGAAUUUUGAAUGCAAAUUAUGCAAGUUUUCCUGAUGAAUUUCUAUUGCAUUGGAACUGCCUGCCUUUAUAUAUACUACAACAUUGCCGUUUAGGACCCACAUAAAAAAUAAUGAUAUUUUUUCUUUUCCAUUUCCUUUGCUUUUGUGUUGAAAAUUACUGACUUUUACCCUUUAUUUGUCUCCAACAUAGAAUUAAUUAUAGAAAAUGACAGAUUAUUUUGGGUACCCCCAAUACCACAUUGUUCAAUUAUGGAUAUUGUGUGUGUGGGUCUUGUUUGGAGUGGACUUUAACCAUGGGACUCCUAUAAGCCUUUAAGGGGACAGAUGUUGUAUUUUUAUGUGUCAAAAUGACACCCAAGACAGACCAUAAAUUUUAGGAGAACCAAGGAGGUGCGCCACUGUUGAGUGUUUAGUGAUUUUAAUAUAAUAUAACUAGUAAUUUGUUGUAUGUAUUAAAUUAUAUUAAAUUAUUUUUUAAAUUUCUUUUAUAAACUUUAUAACGUUUCUAUGAUUAUAAAAAUAAAAUAUAAUAAAAUAUAAGUUUAAUUUUAAAAAUAUGAUAAUUAAUAUUAUAUUGAAUCUAAAUAAAUAAUAUUUUGAAAUUACUUUUAAAAUAUAAAUAUCAUAAUAAUGGGUUGUGUGGAAUUUUGUUUUAUUAUAUACUAACUUAAUUUAUAAUUAUUUAUUAUUGAAUAUAGAUUGUAAAUUAAAUUUAUAUAUUGUGACCGCUAAAUAAUUUAUUGUAAUAUUAUAUAUAUUAAUUUUAAUAGUAUAUUUAAUUUGUAAAAAUAGUGAUAAACUUUUUUUUAAAAUAAAGUCCGUUUAAUAUUUGGGCUUAAAAGACCAAAUUAGAGAAGUUUACAACAACCCCAAAGGAAAAAACGAAAGGAAAAAUCAAAUAACAAGAAAACAAAAAAUAGAAAACCAAAAAAGCAACAGGCCCCAAAAUAAGAAAUUGUCUUCUCAUUUCUACAUUCUUCCAAGCUCUUUGUAAAUCUGAACUCCCCAAAGAAUAAACGGCUAGAGUCAACCAGAAGAGGAAGCAAGUUGAGACAGACAAUCAGAUUACCAAGUUUCUCAACCUAAUUAACUUCACAGAGAAGGAAUUAUGGUGGUCGACUGAAUCGUCGAUCAGAAUCAGCCACUUCCAAGACUUUUAAUGGCGCGUUUUCAACCCAGAACGAAUCUUCAUUAGUUCUCAAACCUUCAAUAGCCAUUGCAUGCGCUGCCCCAUUUCCUUUUCACACAACGAAUUGAAAUCGACAAGAAGAAAAAUUCCUCGCCAAAUUUUUCGCAUCCCAGGUGAAUGGUCUGGAUUUCGAGUAAUCUUCGCUUGUUUGUUGCAUGUUUUGAAUAACCAACUUUGAAUCACUCUUAAGAAUGACGUUUGUGAAUCCCAAAUCCAAUGCAAAUUGGAGCCCAUGCAAUACUGCAGUCGCUUCAGCAAUCACCACCGAUCAAACUAGGUUAUGCCUUUAAACCCCGAACCCAUUAUAAAGCCUUCAUCAUUUUUUAUGAUGAAACUUGAAACUGCAUGUCUUUUUGCAACAAACAGUCUCGCAUCGACAUUAAUUUUCACCCACCCUUACGGAGGGGGCAUCCAUUUUACCAUGGAUCGCGGUUUAGGAUGUUUCAAAGUCAAUGUGCUACCCCGAUAUUCCAUACCAAAACCCCUAGUGAAGGUAACAACUUCUUCUAUACUUUUCUUCUUUUUCUCAUGGACAUAAUUGUUUCGAGAAAACCAAAAUGCCCAAAUUGUAAUAGCAAUCUAAUCUUUUCUGUUUCUGGCUGAAUUCUCCAAAAUCCAGUUCAACCACUAAUUAAAAUUUAAAUUUGCCAUUGAAAUCGGCCACUGAAAAUUUAAUUUAGACCAAACUUGUGUAGCAAACAAACAAUCACGAACAACAUGGGUAGAGGAUUCACAAAGCUAUCAGCAACGCGAACAUUUGUUAUCAGUGAUCAAUCUCCUAAAAUGUAAGUUCGGAUAAGUAGGCACAUAAUUUUUUGCAAAUUUCAGAUUAAGAUGCGAAUUUUUAAAGGACACAUUAAGCUCCAUAUUUGCUUGAAUAACUUUUGCUCAUUUAAAUUCACAUUUGGGGGAUCCAAUAACAUCUUAUAUCCGCUUUUCACAUAAUAGAUGCCUGAGUUUUCGCUAGACCAAACUACUUUAUCAGAUUGAUUAGUAAUAGGAAUAGGAAGACUCACAAUUUGAUAAGCUUCUUCCACUGUAAAGGUUGAUUAAAUGAGGUCUCUAUUCCAUCGCUUAGGAUUCUGCAAAAUUAAAUGCAAUUUGAUAAUCUUCUUCCACUGUAAAGGUUGAAUAAAUGAGGUCUAUAUUCCAUCACUUAGGAUUUUACAAAAUCAAAUCAGACACAAAUUCCGUUCCAGCCACCCUGCCUAUAGAAAUAAGUCGUUGAUAUUUCCCUGGCAACCAAUAAUCUUGCCAUAUUGACACAAAUGUUCUAGAUCCAAUCCUCCAUUUCAAACUAGAGCCUAAGAGUCCUUUUACACACCAGAUACUUUUCCAUACAAGCGAUGGAUUCGCUCCUAGAGAAGCCUCCAUGAAAUUUGAUCCAUUAAAAUAUUUUACUCUAAGUAAACGCACUGUUAGCGAUCCUGGGUUUUCCAUUAGGCUUCAACCCUGCUUCGCUAGUAGUGCAAUAUUGAACUUGGACAAGUCUCGAAACCCCAUCCCUCUCCUCUUUUGGUAAAGACAACUCUUUCCACGAACACCAAUGAAGACCUUUUCUUCUAGCUUUCUUUUGCCACCAGAAACGGGCUAUGACAACUUUCAGUUCUUUACAAACAGACGACGGUAGCAAGAAACAAUUCAUAGAAUAAAAAUGAAUAGCCUGAAGCACAACUCUAAUAAGAACUUCACUCCCACCCAUAGAAAGUAAUCUUGAGCUCCAACUAGAUACCCUCUUGAUUAACCUCUCUUUAAGCUCCUUAAAAGCCCUCUUCUUAUUAUGCCCCACCAUUGCUGAAAGACCGAGAUAUUUUUUUAGAUUAAUGCAGUUAACCCCCGAAAUUCUACACACCUCCUCUCUUUUAUUCUGAUUGAUAUUUGAGCUGAAGAAGACCCCAGACUUGUCGAAAUUAAUUUCUUGACCCGAACUCUGGGCAUAAACCUCUAAAUUUUCUUUAAGUGCUUUAACCCCAUCAACUGUUGCAUCUCUAAAAAUAAGGCUAUAAUCAGCGAAAAAUAAGUGGGUAACCCGAAGAAUGUGCCUGUUUAUACAAAAAACCAUUAAGAAUACCUUUAACAGUCUGAUUUUUAGUGAUGUCAAAAACAGUGGUUUGAGCCACCAAAUCCGGUGAGUAAGCUCGUAAAUUUUAUUAUUUAAUAUUUAUGAGUCAAUUAUGGUUUUAAAAAAAAUUGAAUUAGUAAUUUAUGUCUUAUAAUGAAUUAUUAGAUUCGAGUGAUAAAAUCCUAGUUCAAGUGGUUUUAAAAAAUGAGGUAUCGGGACCUCGUUUCUAUAAACUGAGCCGUAAAUAUUUUUAUAAAUAUUUACGGAGUGUCAUUAAGGUAGUAUUAAAUUUCAUUGAAAAAUUUUAACGUUUCGACAGUUAAUUAAUUAAAAAGGACUAAACUGAAAAAGGUGCAAAACUUGCUAAUUAUAAUAAUAAAGUGACUAAAUGACUUGAUUAAUAAAUAAAGAAUGACCUAAAUAGCAAUUAUGCCUAAAUAAAAAGAUAAGGCCUAAAUAGCAAUUAUGCCUAAAUAAAAAGAUGAGGCAACAUAAAAUGGAAAAAACUAAAAUAAAGCCAUUAAUGGCAAAAUUGUAAUUAUAUUAAAAUUAAAAUAAAAUAAAAGUGAAAUUAGAAAGUUUCUAGGCAAUUCUUUAUUCUUCUCCCAAUUUUCGGUUCGGUUCAAAAACAGACAUAGGAGAGCUCCUUGAGCUGGUUCUUCAAUUUUGCUUCAUGUAAGUUCAAUUCUUACUCGUUUCUUGCAAUUUUUAUAUUUUUGAGAUUGUUACAAUUAGGUCCAACUAAAUCUUACUCUAGUUUUUGAUUUUGUUAAAGAUUAUGAAUGUUGCCAUUGAUGAAUCUAUAUGAUUUUAGUUAUUAAAUGAUGAAUUUGAGAUGUUGAUUGGUAUUUAAAAGUAUUUUGGAUGAUAUAUGUAUAUAAAGAAACAGUAAGAGAAUGAUAUGUGUCAUGAUAUGUAUAUAUAUAUCAAUAUCUUGAUAUGUUAAGACAUGGAACUAUGUAAGUUAUGAUGAGUAAUAAACUCAAGUGUGAUAUGUUGAUAAAAUAAGUUUAUCAAUGUUGAAUUUAUAUGAAAUAUGUUCAAGUAUGCUAACAAGUAUUGUUGUUGACGCUUAGACAAGUGCCAAGUUACCGGUUAAAUGGUAAUCUGUUUAUCAUAUGAUGCGUUGAAAGGGUAAGUGCUCAAAUGAAAAUAUACUUGUGCUCAUGAAAAAGCAGUAAGUUUUUAGUUAUGCAUUUUUUUAUAAAAUGAGUUAUCGUGUGAUUAAUUCGAAAAUGGUCUAUGUUUAAAUGCACUAGCUUGUAUCUAUGGUUGAAUGAUAUGCUUAUGACUAGUGUGUUAUGCAUAUGGAAUGAGUGUGGAAAGUAAAGAAACGCAAAUGAAAAUAAAGAAAUUUUGAAAGAGUUAAAGUUAUUUAAAAUCCUACUAUGCUAGGAAUAUUAUGUCUAAGUGAUACUGUAGAUUUAUUCACUUAGUGAGUUGUUAAAUAUAACUUCAUGAGUAUUGUGGUAGCAACAUUAGAUUAUUCUUGAUAAGUAUAAAUUUCAUAUUUGAAAAAGAAGCAUUAUGAUUAAAUUUUAUACGAGCUUACUAAGUAUUCAUUGUUUAUGUAUUUGUUUUCUUCUACUUUUCAGGUUAUCGGAAGCUCGAUUGGGUUGGAAGCUUGUCGGAGAUAUAUCACACUAUCCAUUGGUUCUAUCAGUAUUUUUGAAUGUUUUGAUUUUGGUUAUAAUGGCAUGUAUAAGUAUUUUGUUUAAUAAUGGCUUAUAUGUAGUGUGUUGAGUUUAGCCACUUAUUUUGGCUUGUUUUGAAUGACUAAUUAUGGCUUGUUGAUAUAAGUAAUGUUGAUUUUAGAUAGACACAAAAUUGGGUGAGAAAUAUGGCUUGUAAAAUGGCCUAUUUUCGUUCACACGGGCAGAGACACGGGCAUAUGUCCCCUACUUCUAAGAAAAUUUUUAAAAUUUUGAGAAAAAUUCCCUGAAUACUCGGUUUAGUCCCGAUUCACUUCAAAGGUGAAUAUUGGGCCUCGAAGGUCCAUCUAAGGGACAAUAUGAGUGUUAUAUAAUUGAUUCUUAAUAUGUGAAACAAAAGUAAAAAAAUGUCCGUAUUUAAUUUGUAAAGUUCGGUAAUGCUCUGUAACCCUGUUCCGGUAACGAAUGAAGGUUAGGGGUGUUACAACACCCCUUGUAGCCACCAUUCGAAGAAGAGCAGACAAACCUUAUCCACAAAUAAGAAAUAAUUAGAGGCUAAUAGGGUCCCCUUGAAGAAAACCCCUUGACGGGAGAAAUGAAUUACCCACCUCCCCAUUCAUAACCACAGAGUAAGAGACCGAUGUCAUACAACGUAUGACUUUCUCAACCCACUGAUCUGAGAAACCCAUCAUUUGAAGCAUAACUUACAUAAAAAACAAUUCAACCCGGUCAUAUGCCUUACUCAUGUCAAGUUUUAAGGCAAAUGAUCCCUCUUUCCCUACCCGUUUUCUCUUCAUUGAGUGCAAAUUUCAUAUACUGCUAUGAUGUUAUCGGUAAUAAGUCUUCCCAGAAUAAAAGUGUUUUGUGCUUCGUCAAUACAAAUAUGAAGGACCUUUUGAAGCCUAUUCGCAAGCAUCUUUGAAAUAAUUUUAUAUAAAAUAUUACAAAGACUAAUAGGCCUAAAAUGAGUCAUGAAACGAGGCGAACUAACCUUUGGGAUCAAGACAAUUCUUGUACUGUUUAUUUCAGCCAUGUUAUGAAGUCGAUGCAACGUCUCAAUGCAAAAAAUCUACCACCUCUUUACCCACAAUAUGCCAAAACCUUUGAUAAAAAAUUGCUCCUAAACCGUCCUCCCUAGAAGCUUUUAAAGGGCUCAUAGCUUUUAAAGCCAAACACAACUCUUCAUAAGUAAAAUCCCUCUUAAGAUCCACGCUCAUCAAUUGAGAUAUACAUGGCUCGACACCUUCCAAAAUAGAAUUUGGAUUUCCAACACCUUUCGAUGUAAAUAAGUUAUUAAAAUAAUCUGUGGCCAACACUAAUAAAUCACAAUUGCUCUUAUGAAUAUUACUCGCACCAUCCACCAUCUCCUCCACCCUAUUGUUUCAUCGACGAUCUGCUGCCGAUUGAUGAAAAAAAAUUUGUUUCUAUGUUAAACGCUAGUUUAGUCUCCACAAUUUCUCCCAAUACUUCAUCCGUGGGAAUAGCUUCAUUCAAUUUAAGCAACUGUUGUUCCAAAUCUUUCCUCAUUAGAGACUUUUGAUUUUUAAUUUUCUGGAACCAUUUCUCAAUGCCCACUCCUACCGCCUUUAUUUUACUUGGAACAUCACCCAAACUAUUAGCCUAAAUCCUACUAACAUCUAUUUCAUAUGAUUCCUCCAAAAGUCACGUUGCUUCAAAUCUAAAAUGCCACUGCUUUAGACGUUGAUUUCCAAAAUUUGAAUUAAGCAACAAAGGACAAUGGUCUGAAAACACAUGUGACAAAUAAGAUAACUUAAAAUUUAGAAAUAAAUCCAACCAAGUCAACUUCGCAAUACCUCUAUCUAGGCAUUUCCGAAUAUUAUUAAUUCUUGUAUGACCUUUUUCCCAAGUGAACCACUGCCCACUAUAACCAAGAUCAGUGAGAGAACAAUCUUCCAUAACAUUUCGAAAUCUACACAUUUGCAUUUCCCUCAUUGGAAGCUCGCCUUUCUUUUCAGUUGAAAAAGCAAUUUCAUUGAAAUCCCAUAUAACAACCCAAGAAAUAUAUGGGGAGUCAUUCAAUGUUCGUAAUAGAUUCCAAGAUGCUUCACGCAUAGUCUCUUCUGGCGCUCCGUAAAACCUUGUACAUCUACAAGUUUUCCCCUCCAAGUCCUCAUCAAUUAUAACAUCGAUGUGCCUUCGUGAAAAAGAUUAAAGAGUAAUCUUACAAUUACUAUUCCAACCUAAAGAUAAACCCCCACUUCUUCCAUCUGAAUCAACAUCUAUUCCAUUAAGAAAACCACACUUACACCUGACCUUUUCCAUAUUACAACUUUGAAGCUUUGUUUCAAUUAAAAACACCACUAGGGAAUUUGUGUCUCUCAGCAUAUGCCAGAAACGAUUUACAGUUCGAGGCCUUCCUAAACCCCGAACAUUCCAAGUUAGGAAUUUCAUUGCUCCCGGCUAGCCUGUUUAGCAAGGCCUACCGAUCUUUUUGUGUUUUUGUACCUGCAAUGAAGUAUCAAAAGUUUCAUUCGAAUCAUCAUUUUCAGAAACUCGUAAAACAUUAAAUUGCAAGCGAGGUCGUUUAAGUCCAUCACUAUGCGUUAUUGGACUACUCGCUUCCUCAUGGGCUACCAUUUUCUCGUCAAACCCAUCUUAAUGUUGAUCUAUUUCCCUAAGUUUUAAUGGGCCUAGAGCAAAAGUAGACUUUCCUUUAUCUUUUACAAAAAUAGAAUCUUUUGGGAUAGAGCCCCAAUUCUCGCCUUUAUUCACUAAAUUUGAUUUCAGAAUCCCCACAUUCCUUUUUUUCCCCUGUUGACUCUGUGUUGUCAAAAAUAGAAGGUUUCCCCCCAUCGUCUUCCACUACCCACUUUGUCUUCCAUAACAGAUUCUUCCUUGGUUGAGCAUGCAGAGAAAUAUUCCAAUUAAAGACAUAUUCUGAGUGUGGCUGAAUAGCUUUAAUUGGGCAAAAACUUUCACCAUGUCUUAAUUUGCCACAUAGAAAGCAAAAUAGAGUCAUUUUUUCGUACUCAAAAUGAACAUAAACUGAUUCACCAUUUUUCAGCGCAAUCCUCUUCUUUCUGUUAAGAGGCUUUCUAACAUCCACCCUCACCCUAAUUCUUAUGAUGCAUUUAUACCCCAGUUGAGUUGCAGUAGUGUCAUACUCAAUAAAUUCCCUAAUAAAAUUUCCCAACUGAUGAGCAACAGUAUCUGCCAUAAAACCAAGAGGGAGGUCAUGUAUUAGUAGCGAAAAAUCCGCCCAAUGUAAUUGAACAGUUAAAGGAUCCUCUCCCGUAUUCAGUCGAUGUAGAAUUAGUAAAUAGGGAUUAAAAUCUCAUGGCCCAUUCUUCAUAACUCUCUCCACAUCCACUUCAUAAUAAAACUGAAAUAAAUAUCUCUCCCUUCCCAGAUCUGAGAUUGAAACACCCCCUAUUAGAUGCCCAACACUUGCCAAAGUCGGUCGCAUUGCUUGAAAAUGCACAACACUGGAAAUAAGAAAUACUCCCACUAAACAGUUCACAUACGAGAUUUAUUGAUUAGUCUCUUCCACCUUCAGUUGAAUGAUUUCUUCCUCUUCAUCAUCCAAUGAAAGACCUGCAAUUAAGUCCUCUAUUUUCUUCCUACAAAAAAGACAAACAGGUUACCCAAAAUGGAAAAUUAAAUAAAAUAGAAAAUAGAAAAUAGUCCAGAAGAAAAAGCGCGUCAAAAGACAAAGAAAAAGCGUGUCAAAAGAUAGAGAAUCUCUACAAUAUAAAAUAGUGAUAAACUUAAAAUUAUUUUUUCAAACUUUACUAUAUAAAAAGGCGAAGGAGUUUAUGUUAUAAGUUUCUCCACUAUAAAUGAUUACUUUCUAUCUUUGUCACAAAUCAAUUUUUUAUAACGUGAAUACAUUAACAACUUAAGAACCUUGUAAAUUGUAAUAUAUAUAAUAUAUUAAUAUUUUAUCCAGUGCAAUUUACGGGUUAAUUGUAUGCAUUAAUUAUAAUACAUAAAAAAAUAACUUUAAAAAUCCUCUGAUAAAGAGAAAUAGGAAGGAAUUUUAGAGAUUUAUGAGAAUAAAAAAAAUGAAAUAUAAUUAUUAGACAAUUGAUAGUGUACCACUUGAUUGAAAAAUUUGUGUCAUUACAUUUUAAGCUCUGGUGUCACCUCUUUAGGUAAAGUCAGCUUUUGACAAAAGCUAUAAAAGGAGGGGUGGACAUUCCAUUUUAAAUGAGUGAUCAAAUCAAAUUAUAUAUGUGUGAAAAUUGAUUAGCCAAUAAUUUAACUGUGAUUAUAUAAAGUAAAGGUCGUACGAAACAUCUUUUUGAAAAUAUAAAAGCGUGAGAAUAGAUUCUUUUUAUUUUUAAAAUGUAAUAAAUACAAUUCCAUACUUUUAUAUUACCGUUUGAUGCAAAAAUAUUUAUAUAUUUCUCAGAUUGGGACUUCUUCAUAUAUCUAAUCUAUAACUUUUCUUUACUCUCAUUUUCAUCCCAUCCCAUGAGUAUUUACAAUAGCCAGCAAAGAAUAAUAUAUAUUCAUGAUAAUAUUUUUUAAUUAAAUUGAUGUUUGAUUAAUUUAUAACAUCAAUUUAAAUUAUAGUAUAUAUAUAUAUAUAUAUGCACUGUAGUUUUAUCCCAGUAGUGGCUACCAUACUGAGAUUUUCAUUGAUAUGUAUUUUGGAUAACUUGCUAUUUUAUUGCUUUUAUAAAAUACAUAUUGUAUGUAUAUUGCACAUUUUGUGAUCAACAACUUGCCUAUAUAAAAUAUUGCAAAUCAAAGGGACGGUCUAAAAAAAGGUUUUGAAUAAUAUAAAAUUUAAUAUAUUUCACAUUUUAUGUUUUGUAUUUAAAUAUUGAUUUUAUUUUAUUUGAAAUAUAUUAAUAAUGAAAAUACAUAAAAUGAUUUUUUUAAAUCAUCUCAAUUAAAUAUUAAAAAAUAUCAAAUUUUGUUAACAAUUUAAAGCAGCAAAUGCUUAAAGUUUUAUGUUAGACAUCUCAAUCAAGUUCUAUCUUAAAUAGUUUGAUUGUUUAAAAAAAUCAUAUUUUAAGUCAAAAUCAAAAUUUAAUUAUUUUAUUAAAAUAAUUACUAAUAUAAAAUAGUAUCAAAGAAAUGCCAAUGUGAUUGAAAGAUUGAUAUCUAACAUUUAAAAUUUAAAUGUUUGUAUAAAAAGUCUUAAAUAUAAUAUAAAACAACAUAUAAUAAUUUUUACUUUUAUAAAUAAUUUAGGGUGGAUUUGGAUAGGCGGUGCGUUUACUUGCGAUUAGUGUAAAAAUAGCGGUGACGGUGAGAUUAGAUACUGUAGCAAUACUACAGCAUGAGCCAAAAAAUAAACUAAACGCACCACACCGCACCCAAUCGCUCAUUCAAACUCACCCUUAGUAAUAAAACAGUGAAUAGGACAAAUAGAUCUGCAGGAUUCAAUCUCGAAAAAAAAGUAGAGAUUGAAGAAGUACAAUAUAAUAAAAAAAAUCUAUCAAUAAUAAGAUUUAUUUACAGCUUUAUUAAAUUCAAAGUUGAUUGAUCUAACUUAAAUUUAUUUUCAACAAAAAUAAUAUAUUUAUUUUAAUUUUUUGAUUGAAUGAAGGGAAUUAAUUAGAUGUUGCAUCAGUUAGCAUGGGGAUUGGGAGGGAGACAAGGUGGGCCAAGUCCCACGUGUCACAAGAAACAAUGGGAUUUAAUGUGAGGGUGACAGAGACGGGUUAAAAUCACCCACCUUGACUUGAGUCACCAAACUGCCUUAUUUUGACAGGGAAGUUUUGUCUCUAGCAUCCCAACGGUGCGACCACUCCACGCGGAGCUCUGUAAUGGUGGGACCACAAUGGAUUACAUGGCAGGUGAUUUAGCCACGUAGGCAUACCCAGUUCACGUGGCAUGUUCUUACUUUGCCCAACACCAAAACAACUCCGAAACUAUUGCGUAUAACACCUGCCCGACUUUCAUCAGUUAAAAAUCAAACUUAGGCUGAGAGUGUUUUUCUAAAUACAUUUAGACUUGUCCAGUUUAUAUUUUUUUUUGUCAAAAUGAUAAUUCACAAUAAUUCAUAUUUAUUUUUUGGAUCAGAAUAAUUUAUGUUUAUUUAAAUUCUAAUAACAUGUUAUAUCUUUACUAAUGUUUCUUUUUUCUCCUUUGCCCAUGCUAUUAUUCUUUUGAUUCGACGUUUCUUGCUUGUAGAAUUCACAGCGUUCAUAGUAGUUAUGUUUCGUGUGAAGGCCAUUCAAUUAGAUAUUUUAAUAAAAUAAACACUUGCAUUUGGUCAAACUACUGUAUUUGUUCAAAAUUGUCAUAGUUAGUUGAAUCUUAUUAUUCUUUUUGAACCUUUCAAAUUUAAUUAAUUAUAUUGGAAUGUGUACAUUAGCUUAUAUUAAAUGGAGUUAAUUUCGGCUUCUUUUGUUUUGUUGGGCGUCACUAAAAGUAAUAUAGAAUAAUUUCAAAUUUUCAGUGGUCGUUCUGGGACAAUUGACAUGAAAAAAACCAGUAAAUUGAUUGAAAUAAUGGGGACUUGAACCAUAAUACAUAGAGUAGAAAUGAAAUGGAACGAAAGCAAAAGAGGAAGAGAAUUGAGCCGACAAAACGACAUCACAUGUUUCAGGGACUCGUUGGAACAUAUUGGACCGCAUAUACAUGUACAUAUUCAGAUGUUAUUGUUCCUUGUUCUUCCCAAUUUUUUUUUAUGAUACACUUCGUGGUCUCGUUUGCCACCGAACAAACAAUUAUACUUAAUCCUCCUCAACUAUUUUCAUAAUUAUUUCCUACAUCCACUAAUCCAACAUAAAUGCUUCCUUCCUAUCUUUUUACUCAACAAACAGUAUGUUUGCACUAAAAAUUUCUCUUGCCCGUAUCUUUUAACUGUAAAUUUCAUGUAAUUAUCUUAUAAGUUAUUACUUUUUAUUAUCUUCAUUCAAAUAUCCUCUCUCAGUUUUACUCCCCAUUAUUUUUGUAUAAUCAUUCUCUUAGUAAUUUCUUUUCAAAAUCUAAUAUUAUUACAACCAUGGCAACUUUCAUUGUUUCUACGUAUUUUUCACUUCCAUCACCAGUGGCGGAGCCAAGCCGCAGCCAGCUAUCCGCCCUUAAAAUAGAAAAUUUUUAUUUGAGCCCUUUAUAUUUUAUAAAAUUUUAAAUUAACAAUGGUAUAAUUACAUUUUGAUCUUCUAUUAUUGUAGCCCAAAAAUAUUUUCUAACUCCUCCACUGUCCAUCACUAUUACUUGUCAAUGCACUUAUUUUUCAAUGUCUGCUCUAAUCAUCUUCUCUAGCAUCUCUUGAGGGCACUAUAUUUUAUUGAUUUAUAACUUUGAAGAAAAAAACCGUCUGCGCUUAACCCAUUUAAUUUAAUUCAUCCGAUGAAGAAGCUCGCUCAUCGACAAACCAUAAUUGCAACUCAACCUCUUUUUCCUUUCGUCCAAAAAGACAACAAAAAUUCAACGAAUCCGUAGCUAUUUGAAGACAGUGUCUCGUCAUUCAAAAGCAUUGCAACAAAAGCAAUCUUUCUUCCAUGUUUUAAUUGAAUUUAUCAAUCUCUCAUGUCCCUAUAAUAUAUAUGUAUUGGUUUCUUGUUCCUCUCUACGCCUUCCCAUACCUAAUGUUUCCCCAUGCAUGAUCACAUGUUUUGUCCUACAUUAAUUCUCACAUGGGGCGGCGUCACCCCCCCUGCCUAGCUACCCCUUAUACGCGAGCCCAUCUUUCUUGACCUUGUUACUCAUACGGUGCGAGAGCUCCGAGGAAGGUUUGCCGAUCAAUACACCGACCACCGACACAAUCCAUUUGCUUUAUACAUGGCCUUUGUUGGAACACAAUGACUCUUCCUUUUCGGUUUUGUAAAGAGAAUUGAACUUCCAAAUUUUGUUUCAUUAGACUAUAAUAUAUGAACUAUCGAUUGAUUUAUAUAUUAUUUUAUGGGAAGAAUUGCGAUCGCAUGCAAAUUUACUUUAUUUUCGUAUAAUUUGGGAGAAGAUAAUUGCAUGGUUAUAUUCAGUUGAUGAUAUUUUUCCUGCUUUUUUUACAUUUCGUGUGUGAAAAAGGUUUGUUUGAAUCAUAUAAAAAAAGAAUGAAAGUGAUAUAAUUUCCAAGGAGCCGACCAUUUUCGACAAUAAUCCUCUACUGGGAUCGAUGUUGUCUAAACUUUUGUCCAAGUCAUAUUUUGUUGUUAUCCAUUUGAAAUGUAGUUUCAAAGCUUCAAUCGUAUUAAUGGAAAAAUAAAUUUCCAUUCAACUAGGCAAGUGGGCUAUUUAGGGUUUCAAUUAAGUUUUUUAAAAAGUGACGAGUAUAGUUAUAGGUAAGUGGGGUAUUUAGGUUUUCACUUGAUUUAUUUUUUAUUUAUAUAACUAAAGAUAACUACAUAGAAAUAAAAAAAAAUCAAAUAAUAAUUUAAAAUUAGGAUAAUGAUAAUAUUUAAAUUUUUUUGAAAGUUUCAGGUUUUGGAAUCUUGAUCUAUAUGCUCUUUUCUUUUACCCUUUUGCUCAAAUGUACAUAUUCUCGAAUCUUCAUAUAACUCCAACUGUUUAUCUUUUUCAUAUGAAACAACACCAGUUCUUACUCGCCAAAGCCUAUCAAUUGGUUUUCUUUAUUAUCAACCAAUCAUUGGCUUCUAUUUAUUAGUUCAAAGCGGUGAGGUUCGUGCCUUCUUAUAUUAGAUGUCAGUUGAGAGACCUUGCCUAAUACAUGUUAAACCAUAUUUUCCUCAGGUGGAAAAUCCACUUUUUUACCAUUAACUUUUUUGCCUUUUUUCGUCAUCGUCAAUCCAAGAUUAUUAAUUAUUAUCAUUGUUGUAAUUUUAAAUUGUAUUUGAAUUAUUAUUUUAUUUAAAUUUUUUAACAAUUUGAAUUUUUAUGUGCUCAACUUUGGGAAGGUAUAAUGCCUAGGUGUGAUAUUGGGGGAAAACCAUGUAAUUGGAGAACGGAAGUCAGCUGGUUGUCGAAGAAAACUACUAGGAAAAGCCUAAAGGCUAAGCUAGGAAGAUGCCUAACAAUGAUAUAGUAAAUUGGCAGAUAGUAAUAAGGGUUGAGAUUAAGGAAAAGCCUAAAUGCUAAGCUACGAAGAUGCCUGACAAUUAUUUUAUUUCAAAUUUCUAAUAGUAAUAAGGAUCGAGUUUUAGGAAGAAUAAAGCAAAGCGUUAUACCAAACCUGCUGUAUAGAUCAUAUAGUAUCCACUUACAGGAAUGUGGAGAUAGGAGUUUAGGUGGCCGCUUUUGACUGUUAUUUUUCUAUUUUUAGGUUAAAUUAUUUUUUGUGUUUGAAUUUUAUUGAGUUAGGUUCUUAAUUUCACAACUAUUCUCACAUUAGAGUUUGAAUUUAUUUUAUCCAAGUUAAGCUCUUAACUUGACAAUUGUUUUCACAUUGGAGUCUAAACUUUUUUUUUAAAUCAGUAUUUGAUAUUUUCUUGAAAACCUUUGUAACACUCUUAACCCUUAUCCAUGGCCAAAAUAGGGUUAUAGAGCAUUACCAAACUUUUCAGAUUUGAAUACAAACAUUUCAUAACAUUUAAUGUACAUAUUAGAAAUACAUUAUAAAUCACUCAUAUUGUCUUUUGUAUGAGCCCUCGAGGCCCAAAAUGCGCAUCAGAAAUAAAUCGGGACUAAAUCGAAAACUCAGAGAAUUUUUUCCAAAAUUUCAAAAUUUUUCUUAGGUGCAGGGACACACACCCAUGUGGCCAGGCUGUGUGAGCGACAUGCCCGUGUCUUAGGUCGUGUGGGCAUUCGAUGUGAGGCACACGGCCGUGUCCUAGCCCGUGUCCAUGCCCGUGUAACCCUCUGACUUGGGACACACAACCAAGUCACAUGCCUCACUAAAUGUAACACUCCUAACCCUUAACCGUCACCGAAACAGGGUUACGAAGCAUUACCAAACUUUUCAGACCAAUUACGAACAUUUCAUAUCAUUUAAUACACAUAUAAAAACCAAUCAUAAUUCACUCACAUUGUCCCUUAUAUGAGCAAUCGAGGCCCAAAAUAUUUAUUAGAAACAAGUCGGGACUAAACCGAAAACUCAGAGAAUUUUUCUCAAAAUUUCAAAAUUUUACCUAGGUGCAGGGGACACACGCUCGUGUCUUAGACCGUGUAACUCUUUGACUUAGAUCACACAGCCAAGUCACACGCCCGUGUGCUAGACCGUGUGCAAAAACCUGGGCAUUGUGUUUCAAAAUUUUAAUAUGCAAGAGACACAAGACUAGAACACACGCCCAUGUGCUAGGCCGUGUGUCACACACGGCUGAGACACACGCCCGUGUCUCUACCUAUGUGGACGAAAUUAGGUAAUUUUAAGGCCACUUUUCUCACCCUUUUUGUUAUCAACCUAUACACAACAUUUCAAUACAUCAAUACAUCCCAAACAAACAAUUAACCCAAGCCAAAAUCAUGUUUUAAGCUUAACAUAACAUCACAAAUACUCAAUUACUUAAAUUUACCUAUUUAAUCCAUCUCAUUGGUUAAAUUUACCUAUUUAACCCAAGCAUAACUUAAAUUACUUAAAUUCUUAUCGGCUCUUCAAAUUUCCAACCACAAAUUCUAUAUCUCUUCUUUUCAAAUCUGCAUACGAUUUCUAACGGUCAGAAGCAGCUUUCAAACUAUCCCGAGUAAUUCAAACUUUAUCUUCAAUCUCUCGUAUCAAGUCGACCCCUACUAGUUUGGAUUCACUCAAUUCAGACCAAUACAAUGGUGUCUUACAUUUCCUCCUGUAAAGAGCUUCAAAUGGUGCCAUUUUUAUACUGGAUUGAUAACUGUUGUUAUAUGAAAAUUCAGCCAACGAUAAAUACCUUUCCCAGCUGCCACCAAAGUCAAGUAUACAACAUCUCAACAUAUCUUCUAGAAUCUAAAUUACUUGUUAUGAUUGCCCGUCAGUCAGAGGAUGAAACGCUGUGUUGUAAUUUAGCUUUGUACCCAGAGCCUAUUACAAUUUACUCUAAAAUCUCGAUGUAAACCUCAGAUCUCGAUCUGAAAUAAUGGAUAUUGGAACCCCAUAUAACGUCACAAUCUCUGCUAUAUACAAUUCUUCUAGCUUCUCAACUAAAAAAUCUGUUCUAACUAAGAUAAAAUGUGCCGACUUAGUCAAUUUAUCAACAAUCACCCAAAUCGAAUUUUUCUUUUUCGAAGUCACAGGUAAUCCGGAUACAAAAUCUAUUAGUAACAGACUAACUAAAUUAGCACAUUUCAUUCAAAUCAGAAUAGACUUUUCGCUAGAGAAAUUAGCAGAAUUAUAUAUGUCUGAAAUUGUGAUGUUACAUAGGGUUCCAACAUUCAUUAUUUCAAAUCGAGAUCCGAGUUUACAUCGAGAUUUUAGAGUAAAUGGCAAGAGGCUCUAGGUAAAAAGCUAAAUUUCAGCACAACAUUUCAUCCUUAGACUAACAGGCAGUCAGAACGAGUGAUUCAGAUUUUGGAAGAUUUGUUGAGAUGUUAUAUACUCGAGUUUGGAGGUAGUUGGGAAAAGUAUUUACUGUUGGCUGAAUUUGCAUAUAACAACAGUUAUCAAUCCAGUAUAAAUAUGGCACCAUUUGAAGCUCUUUAUGGAAGGAAAUGUAAGACACCAUUGUAUUGGUCUGAACUGAACAAAUCGAAACUAGUACAAGUUGAUUUGAUCCGAGAGACUGAGGAUAAAGUUCGGACUAUUCGGGAUAGUUUGAAAGCUGCUUCUGAUCGUCAGAAAUCAUAUACUAAUUUGAAAAAAAGAGAAACUGAGUCCAAGAUUUAUUGGACCAUAUGAAAUUAUUGAAAGAAUCGGCCCCGUAGCUUACAAAUUAGCUUUGCCUCCUAAACUUGAGAAAAUUCAUAAUGUGUUCCAUGUAUCUAUGUUGAGACGGUAUAGAUUUAAUCCUUCACACUUGAUUCCACAAAGUUAGAUUGAGCUACAGCCAAAUAUGAUGUAUUCGGAAGAACCGGUGAGAAUUUUAGCUCGAGAGGUUAAAGAAUUGAGAAAUAAACGAGUAUCGUUAGUAAAAGUAUUGUGGCACCGUCAUGGUUCGGAGGAGGCUACCUAGGAAAUAGAAAAAUCAAUGAAAUAACAAUAUCCAAACCUAUUUUCAGGUAACAAAUUUCAAGGAUGAAAUUUUCUAAAGGGGGGAGAGUUGUAAUAACCUGAUUUUCAGUGGUAACGGAAACGGUGAAUCGAGGUCACCAAUUUCGAUGAGUAAGCUCAUAAAUUUUAUUAUUUAGUAUUUACGAGUCAAAUGUGGGUUUAGGAAGAUUUUUUUUGAAUUAGUGAUUUGUGUUUUAUAAGGAUUUAUUAGGUUAAAUAGUUUAGAAAACGAGGUAUCGAGACCUCGGUUCUAUAAAAUGAGCUGUAAAAAUUUUUAUAAAUAUUUACGGUGUGUCAUUAAAGUUUAAUUAAAGUUCCGUUAGAAAAUUUUAACGUUCUAAUAGCUAAUUAAUUAAAAAGGACUAAAUUGAAAAAGGUGCAAAACUUGCUAAAGUGAUUAAAUAGCAUAAAUGGUAAAUAAAAGAGGACUAAAAGGAAAAAUAUGCCAAGUGGAAUAGCUGAGGCGGCAUAAGUGCGAAAAAAAUCAUGUUAUUCAAGGGCAAAAUGGGAAAUAAUUGAAAUUUAAUUAUCAAAUUGAAAAACCUAAAAGUUUCUAGACAUUUUCUUCAUCAAUUUUCUGUCCAAAAACACCAUUGAAGAGCUCCCAAAACUUUUUUCCAUAUUUUAGAUUCUUGUGAGUUUAAUUCUUGCCUUUUUAUUAUAAUUUUUGUGUUUUUAAGACUUUUACAAUUAGGUCCAACUAGCUAUUUUAUUAGUUUUUGAUUUAUUGAGAAUUUUAAAAGUUACCAUUGAUUAAUACUGGAUAUUUUUUAUGAAAUAACAUGGAUUUGGAGCUUUAAUUUUGUUGUAUGAUGAUUUUAAUAAGUGAUUUUGUUUGAUAUUGAUUUUAGGACUAAAUUGUGAAGAAUUAAAGAAUUAGGGUUUGGAAUUAAAUUUCUAUGUAUCAAGGGCUGUAAGGUAGCCUAGAAUAUUUAUAUAAAUUAUCAAUUGAGAAAAAUUAGUUCAUUUGAUAGACUAAUUAGUAAGGGGACUAAAUUGCAAAAGUUAUAAAAUUUGGGGUAAUUGUGUAAUUUUAAAAAUUGAGGGUAUUAAUUCUGAAGUGAACUGGAACUGAUAUAUAUGCUAAUUAAUGAGUAAUUUUAUAUUUUAGAUCAAGAGUCCGUAGAUACUCGUGAAAAAGAGAAAUUAGUAGAAUAGUCCCUAAACUUCUACAAAUUUUACAAUUUAACCCAGGUAAGUUCGUAUGGUUAAAUUUUAUUAAUUAUAUUGAUUUGUUGAAUGAUAUUAUGUAUUUUAGUAUAUUGUUGAAAAAUGGAAUAUUGUUAAAUUAUAAAUUUGAAGUGAAUAUCCAGUUUAAAUAAAAUGCGAGAUUGAGUACAAUCGUUGUGUGGCGAAAGAUAGCAAAGGAAGAAUUGACAAAAAAUUACCCAAGUAAAUCGAGUUCAAAAUUUGUUGCGAACUUUCGUGCUUACUUUUCGUUUAGCUCUCUCGAGCUUUUGCUUAACUCAUAUGAGUUUCCGUUCAACCCUAAUGGGUUUCCAUUAAGCUAUUUUGAGCUUCUGUUUAACCCUUUUGAGAUUUUGUUCAGCUCUUAUGAGUUUCCGUUCAACCCUUAUGGGUUUCUCUUUAGCACUUAUGUGCUUCUAUUCAGCUUUCAGGCUUCUGAAAACGAUGUACUCAUAUCCGUAAGCCAUUCUUCGAUUUGGUAAGACUUGAUAAGUGACUUAUGUAAUUGAAAUUGAAAGAUUUAUUGUUUAUUAUUGAUAUUGAUUUGAAAUAAGUGAGUUCAUCAAUUAAGUUUCUGAUUGACAGAAAGAUUGCAUGAGUAAAUUUGAAAAUUUGAUUUGUUAUAUUCGGUUCAGUAAGAUUUAUGUUUAACCUAUUGAACUUACUAAGCUUUAUUAAGCUUAAUUGUGUUGUUUAAUGUUCUUGUAGAUAAACGUGAGGUCGGGAGAUCGAAUCAACACAUCAAGUCACACUAUCCAGCUCAUCCUGGUAGUCUUUAAAACGUAUUCUAUGGUUUUUAUGGCAUGUAUAGGGUUGGAAUAGUUUUAAGUAAAGUUAGUUUGUGGAAAUGUUUAAAAAUCACAUAUUGUUAUAUAUUUCCCACCAACUUAUAUAUGUAUGAUUUAAUCAUGCUUGAUAUAUGUUUAGAGUGGUUAAAUGAUGGACAGCUUAUAGGCAUAUAGGUGAAUGUGUAAUAUAUUUUAAUUGGUAUAAUAAAUCAAAUACGUGGUUUGAUCAAUAUGGUAAAUUAAAAAUGCUAGGAUGUCGAUGGUAAUAACAUAUGUUUAAAGCUUGAUUUAGUUACACUGAGGGGUUUGUUAUGGCUUAUGAGAGUGUAAUUUGAAGUGUUUAGGUUGGAAUUUAAAAAUGGGUGAGAAAAGUGGCCUUGAAAUGGCCAAUUUUCGUCCACACAGGCAGAGACACGGGCAUGUGUCUCAGUUGUGUAUGACACAUGGCCAAGCACAUGGGCAUGUGGCCUGGCCGUGUGUCCCUUGCAUCCUUAAAAUUUAGAAACAGAAUGCUCAGGUUUUUGCACACGGCCUAGCACACAGGCGUGUGGGUUGGCCGUGUGUGUAACACCCCCUACCCGUUUCUGUCACCGGAAUAGGAUACGAGGCAUUACCAGAUUUUACUAAUUUUUUUAACCCCUUUAUAAAUAUCAAAUCUUCCCUGCAAAUUUUAAACCGAGACCAAUCUGACACAACCAAUCCAUUUCAAUAUAUUUUCAAGAUAGAUUUAUAAUAUUCAUAAGAUAAUCUCAUCACAUACCAAAACCAAAGUUUGUUAGCCAUACCAAUAGCUAACCAUACAUUCAUUUCACAUUAACAUCUACUUUACUAGCUUAUACAUGCCAUUGAUUUUCAAAAUAAAGUUUCUUUAUAUACUGAGAUCUUGAGGUUGAUAGUGUGAUGCGUCUCCGACCAAAUCCGACCUCCGAGCUCUUAAUUCUACAAACAGGGGAAAAAGAAACAGGGUAAGCACUUUGUGCUUAGUAAGCUCAUGUAACAAGAAUUAUACUUACCUAAUAUUUUCCAUACAAUGUAAUAACAUUCAUACACCCAUUCCAUACAUUAUUCCCCUAUCAUGCACAAACUCAACAUUCAAAUUAGUCCAAUAAUUUCCAUGUAUCAAUAAUUUAUACCAUGAUUGAUGAGCUCAUCAAUUCCAUGAUUUCCAUUUCCUUGUUAUUUUUCCAUAUUUAUCCCGUUGAACUACUUGGAAUUUCGAUGGAUUUUCAGGGGUACACCUAAGUGUACAAAUUCCGGGUCCGUCAAUUCAUAUUCAUGUGCGCACAUUUCCAUUUCAGAGAGCACACUCCCGCGAACCUCAUCCUUACAGCGGGAUUACCAGUCCAGGCUAAAUCCCCUGUAAUAUAAACUCAUAGAGUAUUGUCGGGAUUACCAGUCCAGGCUAAAUCCCCUGCAACGACAAUUACUCUAAUGAGCUUGGAUCUGAUUACCAGUCCAGGCUAAAUUCAGACCCUAAUUCGGAUUACCCGUCCGGGCUAAAUCCAUUUUCCACAUAUUCUUCGAGAGGGCUAUAUCAGGAUAGGAUCACCCGUCCGGGCUAGAUCCUUUUUACCGUCAAUUCCUUUUCAGAGAUCCAUCGAAUUUUCCUUCCAUUCAACCGGGAUUUAUUUUCUCUUUUCAUCAAGAAUAUCAAUACUUCAUCAAUUAUCAUACAAUAAACAUCCAACUCAUUUUCACAUCAAUAACAAACAUUUCAAGCAUUUAAGAAUAUAAUUCAAGUAACACGAACUUACCUCGAUACUUGUUCGUAACUAAAAAUCUACUAAUCCCAAACUUUUUCUUUCCUUCGAUCUUGCUUCGUAUUUGAAUUUUCCGGAUCUAAAUAAAUAAAUUUAAUUAUUAAUCUAAUACUUUUCAUGUUCAUAUGUAACAUUCUCUAUAAUUCUAUUAUUAUUUAUAAUGCAUUCAAAGCUGUCUCACUGAGUCACAGUCACUAAAUUAUUUAUAUCUUGAGCUACAAAACUCCAAAUUAAGAUCCGCUAAUUUUUCCUGAAACUAACUCACAUAUCUUCUUAUCAUAAAAUUUUCAGAAUUUUUGGUUUAGCCAAUAAGUACAGUUUAUUCUUUAAAGUUUCCCCUGUUUCACUGUUUGACAGUUCCGACCUCUCUUCAUUAAAAAUUAAUUAUCUCAUUGUACAGAAUUUGGAUGAUAUUUCCAUUUCUUUCUUCUGAAAAUAGACUCAUUAAGGAUUCUAACCAUAUAAAUUAUAACUCAUAAUCAUUUUUUUACAAUUUUUAAUGAUUUUCCAAAACUCAGAACAGGGGAACCCGAAUUCAUUCUGACCUUGUCUCACAAAAUCUAUUAUAUCUCAUGAUUUACACUUCCAUUGAUUAAACCGUUUCUUCUAUAAGAAAUUAGACUCAAUAAGCUUUAAUUACAUAUUUUUUCAUCCUCUAAUACGAUUUCUAAAAUUUAUGGUGAUUUUUCAAAGUUGGAUACUGCUGCUGUACAAAACUGUUUUAGUGUAUGAUGUUAAUUACCAUUUUUCCCUAAACUUUUAAUAAAUGAUAAUUUCAUCCCUGCUCAAUUAACCUCUCAAUUGAGCUGAUUUUUCUCCAUUAACACUUUAUUAUAUCACUUUAAACUACCUUAUAACCUUUGGAAAUCAAAAUUUUAGCAUUAGACUUUAAUUCCAAACUUUUUCACAAUUAGGUCCUACAAAUCAAUUUCUAUUGAAAUCACCUAGUAAAAUCAUCUCAUAAACAAAUUAAAGCUUCACUUUCAUCCUAUUUCAUCAUAAAAUUCCAGCACAUAUUCAUAGCAACUUUCCAUUUCAUUCAUAAAAUCAAAAGCUAAUGAAUUUAGUAAUAGGACCUAGUUGUAAAAGUCUUAGAAACACAAAAAUUACAAGAAAAAGGCAAGAAUUAACUCACUUGGGGAAAAAAUUAUGAAAAUCCAGCUUGAAGAAACCCUUAGGACAUUUUUGGCUGAUGAGAAUGCAGAAAAUAUGAAGAGAAUUCUAGAUAUUCCACUUUAGUCCUAACUUUUAAAGCAAAUGUUUGCAAUAUUCCAAUUUUACCCUUAAUUCUUCAAUUCUCCUGAUUUUUCUCAGCGUAUGCCGCCCAAAACAUCUCCUUUUGGGGUUAUUUUCAAUUUAUGUCCCUCUUCAUUUAACAAUUGAGCUAUUUAAUCUUUCUAGUAACUUUUACACCUUUUUCAAUUUAGUCCUUUUUACUUAAUUGACUACCCAAGCAUUAAAAUUUUCUAACGAAAUUUUAAUACCAUAUUACUAACACUUCAUAAAUAUUUAUAAAAAUAUUUUUGACUCGGUUUUACGAGAUCGAAGUCUCGAUACCUUGUUUUUACUCAAUUUCUUCUAUAAUUUCUUUUUCUAACUAACGACUAAAUCGAUAAAAUUUUUCUAUCGAUAUUUUCAUACGAUUUUCCUAUCAUACCAAUAUUCAUGCAAAAAUAUUAAAAUAAAUUUAUCUUUAAAUCAGAUUUGUGGUUACAAAACCAAUAUUCCGAUAACCUUGAAUUUGGGCCAUUAUAGUGUGACCCCUGCACCUUAAUUUCAUAACACACGGCCUGACCACACAGGCGUGUGUCCCCUGCAUCUAAGAAAAAUUUUGAACUUUUGGGAAAAUUUUUGAAAUUUUGAGAAAAAUUCUCUAAGUUUCCAGUUUAGUCCUAAUUUAUUUCUGAUGCGUAUUUUGGGCCUCGAGGGAUCAUACAAAGGACAAUAUUAGUGAUUAAUGAUUGGUUUCUGAUAAUAUAUAUGAAAUGUUAUGAAAUGCUUGUAUUCAAAUCUGAAAAUUUUGGUAAUGCUCUGUAACCCUGUUCCGACGACAGAUAAGGGUUAGGAGUGUUACAACCUUAAAAUUCAGACCAAUUUGUUCAAGCCUUAAUAUAGGUACAAUUGCCAAGUUCAAAUAUUAACUUGGACAAAAAAAAAUUAAGCCCUAAUAUAGGUACAAUUGUCAAGUUCAGAGACUAACUUUAACAAAAAAAAAUCAAACCUUAAUAUAAGAACAAUUAUCAAGUUUAGGUCCUAACUUGAAAAAAAAUAAUUGAAGUCUCAAUAUCAAAAUAAUUGCUAAAUUUAAGUUCAAAUAUUGAUUUAACCAUUCUAUAUUUUGGUUGUUGAUUACUGAGUUAAUUUACUUACUUAUAUGAUGUAUUCUAGUUUUUUGUAGAAUAAAAUGCAUUAUUAUAAAAAAGUUUAUAAUGAAAAUUAAAUUAUUACAAUACAUAAAUGAAUUAAUGAUUUAAAAAUAUUAGAGUUUAGAUCAGAAUAAAUUUAGAGAUAAUUUAUACAGGUUGAGAAUUUAAAAUAAAAUAAGAAUCUAUAUAAUAUUUAUAAAAAAGAAUGAGAGUCGAAUAUAAAAUUUCAAGUUACUCUUGCAGGAAUUGAACCUCUAGGCUUCUUCUGCAACUGUUUGUUUGGUUAAUGGUAAUCUUUAACUUAUUAUAAAUGGAUAAAAUUUACAUCCUAAUUUCAAACAAAUAACAUGUUGAAUUUUAAAUGAAAAAUUAGGAAUAGCAUGGAUUCCCAAUAGAUUGGUGAACCAAGAUUAUUAUUAUUUUUAGAGAAAGCCAUUCCUGUUCAAUGAUUCAGGCCUGGUCCAAAACAAUUUAAGUAAGCUUACACUAGAUCAGUGGCUCGCUUUCAAGCCCAUUAGUUUUUUAUGCUUUAUUAUAUUAAGGCAUAAUCACAAGUUUGACUCUUA